RNAcentral lists this long non-coding RNA (58293 nucleotides) under Vitis vinifera (wine grape). RNAcentral describes it as "long non-coding RNA (VVIN_LNC004463)". The record is from RNAcentral. Lineage: Eukaryota; Viridiplantae; Streptophyta; Magnoliopsida; Vitales; Vitaceae.
UCUCACUGGCACGAGGGUGAAAGUGAGGAGGGUUUUGACCAUUAGGUUCAUAAUCGAUACGAGCCACUGACACCCCAAGAGCGUUUUCUCCUGGUAAUUGAUCAACAUUUAUAAGAUUGACAAUUGAGCCCACAUAAUUUGAUGUGUUUCCUGGAAUAUUCAGCCCUUGAUACAAGAAAUCCUCGGCCACGGUCAGGUUUGGGUUCUUGCAGAACUUCCCAUUUACAAAUACUGCAUGAAGAAGGAAAAAAGAAAAGAUAUAUCAUUAGUAUCGAACCAUACUCACCAUAUCAAUAAAAAGAGAAGUACUGAAAAUAGCUAUAAGAUCAUUGGUUACUAUAGAAAUACCAGCAUUCUUGGGCUCAUCAACGGCAACACAGGUGUCUUCCAGUGGGCUUGGAUCAUAGGCAGAGGCAAGAAAGGAAGCCAAUGCCAUGAAGGCCACGGUUACCAGGAAACUAACGCUUUUCUUCAUUGUUAGAGUACUGUCUCCAACAAUCACAAUAUUUAUCUUUAGGCGGGGAUAAGAAAUUUAGCAUGGAAAAGAUGUUAAUUUAUAGACCAGAGUCGGUGAGUUAGUCUUUGCAUAAACUCACCAAGUCUUCAAUGGGAAGUUUUUUCUUCUUUCUUUUUUCACUUUCGAGGACAAGCGGUUGCACCAAUACAUGUUGAUUUACGUAGGAUUAGUCAGUAUACAGAUCUUAACCAGAAUAUAAAGCAAUGUACAAUCAGGUGGAGGCAGGUCCAAUUUAAUAUCAAUCUGUAUGAUCCAUACGUUUACAUAUAUAGUAGAGCUUUCUGCUCUUUUAGUAGUGUAUGGACAAGCAAAUAGAAGAUUACAGAGUAGGUGCCAGCUUGGACUAUACAAUGACCCACCCCUAUCAAACAUGGUUACUCCAUGAGACUUGUGUAGGUUCAGUUUAAUGAGUAUUUAUAUAGCUUAAUUCACCAUUCGAAGUGUUGAGAGAUUGGCUGAUGAGAUUGAAUAUGUAGCCAAGUUCUGAGUUUCUAGCUCAUGUGCCUUCCACUGAGUGAAAAGUCCUUGGAUAAGCUCUGGGGUUGCCUCAGUUCAAUGAAAAAUUGGGAUAAAUUCAAAGACUUUCUGCUAUAUGCUCACUAGGCUUUCCUCAGUUACAAAAGCUUUGACUAUGAUUUUUAUGCUUGCAGCCUUCCCUGUCUGAGCGGUUGGCUCAAAAGUUACUACUACAAUUAUUAUGGUUUGUGAGAGAAAGAGAUCUUAACAAACACCUUUAAACUAAGACUUUUUAAUUAGUCGUCUUUAACAAGCAAGUCUGUAUUUUCUGGUGAGAAGCAAGAAACCUUACAUUAGCAAAAUACCAAUUAAUUAGAUGAAGUCCUUCGGCUAAUCUAUGCCCUAUAAGUAAGGUAAUUAAGCAGAUCGAUACACUUUCCAAAUCUUCAAUGGAUGUCAUUUUUCAAAUUGAAAGGUUGAACCAUUCUGAGAAUUUUCAAAUUGGACAGGCCAUCUGUAAUCAGAUUGUGAUUAGUGUCAUGACCCAUUAGAUCUUUAUAAGAAGUUGGGGUUAGAGGUUUGUUCACAGUGGAUGUCAUGAGAUUUCUGGGCUUUCAUUUCCAUUCUUUCCUCACUAUUUCAUGACACUGAUGCUUCUCCCACCAUUCAUAUGGUUUGACUCGGACAUCUUAAUUAGUUUUUUCGAUCUCAGUUGAUGGGGGCCGGUUAUACUGGGAUAAUCUAGAGAAGCAAAUUAAUGGCAUCUUUCCAUUAUUGGAUUAUAUGAGGUUGUUGGCCAUGGUUCAAAGUCAUGGUAUCGGACACCAACUCGGUAAGUCUUGAGGCACAUGGGUCUCAACGUCGCAGAUCAAUAUCGGGUGAUACACAAAAAAUUAUAGUUUAAAAGCCCAAAACAAUUUAAAAAGAUUACAAAAAUAAAUACAAAUAAAUGAAGUUAAAAAUUAAUAAAAUAAACUUUUAUUAUAUAUAAAAUUAUUCAAAUUAUGAUAAAAACAUACCUUCGUAAUGAUUUAUAAAAAUAUAAAAAAAUUAAUUUAAUCACUUAAUAUUAAAUAUGCAUUAUUAAAGAUGAAAAUAAUAAAAAGUGAAUUUAUUGUUUAUAAUUUUUUUUAAAUUAAAUAUUUUAAAUUUUUAAAAAAUAUUUUCAAUAUUUUAAAAAAUACAUCUAGGAAUCAUCUUUGAAAAAAGUAAACAUCAUUUUUCUUAUCAAAUAUAUACUAAAUGAAACAAUUAUAAAAAUGGAGAAUUUUUAUUUGAAUGAGCAUAUUUGAAUAUAAUAUAUUUUUUCUAUACAUCUAUUCAUUUUAAUUGACUUUUUAUAUUAAUAUUUAUUUUCUAUUUUAUUUAUGUAAACCUAAAUAUUCAUUAUUAAUUUACCAUUAUCCUAAACCCAUCAAAUUUUCAUUAUCCAUUUAAAUACAAUUAUUCACCACAUAUUCAUUAACUACUUAUUUGUAAUCCUAUCAAAUACCCAUAAACCAUUCACCUCGCAAACACGUAUUUCCUUUUUUUGCACAAUACCCAUUUCCCCUCUAAAACAACACUUUGAGCUCUCUACUUCUUUGCACAAUACCUAUAUUUGAAGGCUAAAAAAAUAACCCCAUGAAGAUACAAGAGGAUGGAGAUGCAAAUAGAAGGAUGAAGAUGCACAAGGUUUGAAGACUCUAAACUCUCCAUACUUCUUCACUUUCAUGAGUUUUGAUUAUCUUCUCUUAUCCACCAUUUCUGCUCCAAUAUUACUAUUUUUUUUCCAUCACCCAUCACCCAUCACCCAAAGAGAUUAGUUUGAAUAUAAUAUUAGGGUUAUCUCAAAGUUUCUUUGUGAUUUAACAAGUUUAUUCAUGAGUCAACCAAAUAUUGGACUCAGGAAUCAGUCCAAUACGGUUCAUGAGCUCUUUAUUUAUUUGUACAAUACCCAUUUUUGAAGGCUCACAACACAACCCUACAAAGAUACAAGAUGAUGAAGAUGCAAAUACAAGGAUGAAAUGCAAAGGGUUUGAAGACUCUGAACUAUUUAUAUUUUUUCACUUUCAUGGGUUUCGAUCUUCUUCUCUCAUCCACCAUUUUCGCUACAAUAUUACUAUUUUUUUCCAUUACCCAUCACUCGAAAAGCUUAGUUUGGACACAAUCUUUAGGUUAUCUCAAAGUUUCCAUGCGAUUCAACAAGUUUAUUUCAUUAGAUAACCAAAUAUUGGACUCAGAUAUCAAUUCGAUACCGGUCAUGGCCAAGACGGAUGUAACUCAGUCGAGUCAAACUAGUCUUGACUAAGAUUUUGAACCCCAUUUGAGCUCUCUAUUUCUUUGCAUGUACAAUGCCCAUUUUUGAAGGCUCACAAAAUAGCCCUAUGAAGAUACAAGAGAAUGGGGAUGAAAAGGGUUUGAAGACUCUGAACUCUUCAUACUUCUUCGCUUUCAUGGGUUUCGAUCUUUUUCUCUCAUCUACCAUUUCUACUCCAAUAUUACCAUUUUUUUUCCAUCAUCUACCACCUGAAGAGCUUAGUUUGGAGAUAAUCUUGGGGUUAGCUCAAAGUUUCUUUGUGAUUUAACAAGUUUAUUCAUGAGUCAACCAAAUGUUGGACUUAGGUAUUGGUUCGACACCAAUCAUGGCUAAGGCGGAUAUGACUGAGUUGAGUCGUACAAGUCUCGAUCAAGAUUAUGAGCCCUGUUUGAGCUCUCUAUUUCUCUACACAAUACCCAUUUUUGAAGACUCACAAAAUAGCCUUAUGAAGAUACAAGAUAAUGGAAAUGCAAAUAUAGGUGUAGGACCUCAGGCGCUACCAACUCUCCUAAAAGCAAUUGCUGUUAGGAAAGACGCAUACCCUAACCUUAUAGUGCAUUCACCCAAGCGCCCAUGGAGAACACAAGGGGAGUUUAUGGAUACGACCAACCUUCCGAUCUAUCAGCAAUCUCCCAUACCACUUGUAGGACCUCAGACGCUACUAACUCUCCUAAAAGCAAUUGCUGUUAGGAAAGACGCAUACCCUAACCUUAUAGUGCAUUCACCUAAGUUCCCACGACAAACAUAAGAAGAGUUGAUGGACGCGGCCAACCCUCUGAUCUGCCAACAAUAGGGAUGAAAAUCCAAAGGGUUUGAAGACUCUGAACUUUCCAUAUUUCUACACUUUCAUGGGUUUCGAUCUUCUUCUCUCAUCCACCAUUUUCACUCCAAUAUUACCAUUUUUUUUUCUAUCAACCAUCACCCAAAGAGCUUAGUUUGGACAUAUUCUUAAGGUUAUCUCAAAGUUUCUUUGUGAUUUAGCAAGUCUAUUCAUGAGUCAACUAAAUAUUAGACUUGAGUAUCGAUCUAGUACUGGUCAUGGCCAAGGCAAAUAUGACUCGGUCGUGUCAUACCAAUCUAGAUCAAGAUUUUGAACCUUAUUUGAGCUCUCUAUUUCUUUGUACAAUACCCAUUUUUAAAGGCUCACAAAAUAACCCUAUGAAGAUACAAGAGGAUAAAGAUGCAAAUAUAGGGAUGAAGAUGCAAAAGGUUUGAAGACUCUGAACUCUCCAUAUUUCUUUGCUUUCAUGAGUUUAACUCUUCUUCUCUCAUCAACCAUUUUUGCUCCAAUGUUACCAUUUUUUUCACCAACCAUCACCCGAAGAGCUUAGCUUGGACAUAAUCUUUAGGUUAUCUCAAAGUUUCUUUGUGAUUUAGCAAGUUUGUUCAUGAGUCAACCAAAUAUUGGAUUUAGGUAUCAGUCUGAUACCGAUCAUGGUUGAGGUAGAUAUGACUCGGCUGAGUCUUACCGAUUUCGACCAAGAUUUUGAACCCUGUUUGAGCUCUGUAUUUCUUUGCACAAUACUAAUUUUUGAAGGCUUAUAAAAUAACCUUACGAAGAUACAAGAUGAUGGAAAUACAAAUACAAGGAUGAAGAUGCAAAGGGUUUGAAGAGUUUGAACUCUCCAUACUUCUUGAUUCGUUCCCAAUUGGUGUCUCAGCUGAUUCAUGUCCAGCUGGUGCUCUUUGAUUGAGAGAGUAAUCAACAAAAUUUAUAACCUAUAUCACUAUGCAUUAGGAUAGCUUUAGCUAAUAUAGCAUAGUGGCUCUAGGAUCGUUCACUGGGAAGGGUUUUCAACUCACAACUGAUACCAAUUCAAAGUUAAAUUGGUACUUUUUCAUUUCAAGGUUAGCUUAAGAAAAAAACACAAACUUUGUUUAAAUGAGGUUUUGUUUAAAGGUAACUAAAAAGAAAGUAAUGGAAAUUACUUAUGAAGAAAAACAUUCCUUGGAGGUUUAGGUUCACAGGGGAGGUUUCUUAUGCAAAAACAGAGCUCCGGUCAUUUGGUUCAUUUCCUCGCAUUAGAGAAUUAACAUAUAGUCAAUUCUCUAACCGGUGCUGCACAGAUGUAUCCUUUAAAUGGAUUUCAACUCUAAUUCCCUCUCACUGAUGCAACUUGCAAUGGCUCGUGCCUCUCACCUAGCAUUUUCCAUUCAAUGUGAUCUUUAACUUUGGACUUCUCUUCUCAAGCUCGCAAGAGAUAACUAACGGAUGUCUCCUUGGAGUCCAAAAGCUUACCAAGUGUUGGCAAUUCUAGAAAAUCCUACCUCCAAGUCACUUCCCAAAAGCCCGCAAGAGAUAAACAAGUGCAUCUCCAUGGACGGAGAUCACGUGCCUUACCAAGUGUUGGCUUAAGUGAAUUGAAGGUAUUUUAAGUUAACUAAAAACAUAUAAAUCAUUAAAGGAUCACACUUUCUCUUCAUUAAUGACUGAAACCACAAAGCUACUAAUUCUUGCACUUGGAACCUUUCCCGGCAACCUUAACUCCAAGGAACUAAAAGUCUAGCCACUCAUUCUAUGAGGAAACUUCCUCAGAGCUUGUUUGGCUAGUAAGAAAACUAACGAGAAAACAAUUAUAUGAAGGAAAAACAGAGCAAGUGCUCUAUAAAAUAUAUUUCUUUUUUCUGCCGAUUACAUAAUAUAUCUUUGUAAAGAAAAUUACAAACUAUAUAUAUGAGGUUAUUCACCCUUUGUACUUACUUAAAGACUAAGGAAUCCUAUGAUAGGUGGGUUACAAGGAGACUUUGGGAGGUGGGUUACAAGGAGACUUUGGGGAUUUAGACAACAAAUAUUUAAAGCAAAAUAUCUCAGGAUGUCGGUCGGAAAUAUCAAGAAGCUUCAGGAGAACACCGUGGCACUGUAUACUGAGAGAAAAACUCUCCUGGUAAGCGCUAUCAGAGGAUCCGGAUAAGUUUGACCGGAGAAGUUGAAACGUCCUCCUCUCCCAUCCGGCUGCGAGAUAUCCAGAUGUAAAAUGUCGGCGCACAGAAUUCCGGAUGUGAAAUGUCGACGCACGGAAUUCCUCCCCUGGUGGACUAAGCUAUGUUGCGCAAGGGGGACCGUCUGCGUGUGCAAGGUGUAGGGACCCCUCUCCCGGAUGACACGGAAUGCGCAAGGCUAUCCGGAUCAACUCCAUCCGGAUUCCCCAAGAGGACAUGUGGCGUGCUCCCCUAUUCAGACUCCCUCAGGUUGAAGCACACAGCACUCGUGAUCAUCACACCCGGACGAUAGCAUAUCCUAUCCGGAUAUGUUGUCCGGAUCAUUGACUUCCGCCGUCAUCCGAUGGUGUGUCCGGACAUCUUUUACUCCUUGCAUUCCAGAUUUGCUUAUGGAAAAGAACCUCAAAGCUUUGGUUCUUCAUAUUUCUGAGCUUUCCAUUGCUUUGCCAUGGAUUCCAAAGAACUCUCCUCAAUCACGGAUUGCUUUGGUGAUAAAAAAGCUAUCAAAACACCAAAACUUAACACAAUUUGAUUAGAAUUGAUUGCAAGGGUCCUUAAUAUGUUAAUUGGGUUAAAAUGUGAUAACUACUACUCAAAAGUGUUUAAAAGAGUUUAUUACAAGCUAUCAAAUAGCACUUUUUGAGUAGUAAUCACUUCUUCACUACCAUGGGUUUCGAUCUUCUUCUCUCAUCCACCAUUUUCCCUCCAAUAUUACCAUUUUUUUUCCAUCACCCAUUACCCGAAGAGCUUAGUUUGGACAUAAUCUUAGGGUUAUCUCAAAGUUUCUUUGUGAUUUAACAAGUUUAUUCAUGAGUCAACUAAAUAUUGGACUUGGGUAUCGGUUCGAUAAUAGUCAUGGCCUAAGAUUUUGAACCCUUUUUUAGCUCUCUAUUUCUCUGCGCAAUACCCAUUUUUGAAGGCUCACAAAAUAACCCUACAAAGAUAUAAGAUGAUAGAGAUGCAAAUACAGGGAUGAAGAUGCAAAGCGUUUGAAGACUCUGAACUCUCCAUACUUCUUCACUUUCAUAGGUUUCGAUUUUCUUCUCUCAUCCGUCAUUUUAGCUCCAAUAUUACCAUUUUUUUGCAUGACCUAUCACUCGAAGAGCUUAUUUUGGACAUAAUCUUAGGGUUAUCUCAAUUUUUUAUUUUAUUUUUGUGAUUCAACUAGUUUAUUCAUGAGUUAACCAAAUAUUAAACUCGGGUAUUGGUCUAGUACCGGUCAUGGUUGAGGCGGAUAUUACUCGGCCGAGUCGUUUUGAUCUCAACUGAGAUUUUGAACCCCAUUUAAGUUCUUUAAUUCUUUUCACAAUACCCAUUUUUGAAGGCUCACAAAAUAACCCUACGAAGAUACAAUAUGAUGAAGAUGCAAAUAUAGGGACGGAGAUGCAAAUGGUUUAAAGACUUUGAGCCCUCCAUAUUUUUUCACUCUCAUGGGCUUCGAUUUUCUUCUCUCAUCCACCAUAUACGCUCCAAUAUUACCAUUUUUUCCAUUACGCAUCACCCGAAAAGCUUAGUUUGGACAUAAUCUUAGGGUUAUCUCCAAGUUUCUUUUUUAUUCAACAGGUUUAUUCAUGAGUCAACCAAAUAUUGGACUUGGGUAUUAGUUCGGUAUUGGUCAUGGCCGAGGUGGAUAUGACUUGGCCGAGUCGUACCGGUCUUAAUUGAGAUUUUGAACCCUAACUGAACUCUCCAUUUAUUUGCACAAUACCCAUUUUUUUAAGGCUAACAGAAUAAGCCUACGAAGAUACAAGAGGAUUGAGAUGCAAAUAUAGGAAUGAAGAUGAAAAGGGUUUGAAGACUCUUAACUCUUUAUACUUUUUCACUUUCAUGGGUUUCAAUCUUCUUCUCUCAUCCACCAUUUUUGCUCCAAUAUUACCAUUUUUUUCCAUUACCCAUCACCCAAAAAGCUUAGUUUGGACAUAAUCUUAGAGUUAUCUCAAAGUUUCUUUUUUAUUGAACAAGUUUAUUCAUGAGUUAACCAAAUAUUGGACUCGGGUAUCGAUCCAAUACCGAUCAUGGCUGAAGCGGAUAUGACUCGAUCAAGUCGUACGAGUCUCAAUCGAGAUUAUGAACCCUAUGUGAGCUCUUUAGUACUCUACACAAUACCCAUUUUUGAAGUCUCACAAAAUAGUCCUACAAAGAUGCAAGAGGAUAGAGAUGCAAAUAAAUGGAUGGAAAUCCAAAGGGUUUGAAGACUCUGAACUCUCCAUAUUUCUUCACUUUCAUGGGUUUCGAUAUUUUUCUCUUAUCCACCAUUUCCACUUCGAUAUUACUAUUUUUUUCCAUCACCCAUCACCCUAAGAGCUUAGUUUGGACAUAAUAUUAGGGUUAUCUCAAAUUUUCUUUGUGAUUCAACAAGUUUAUUCAUAACUCAACCAAAUAUUGAACUCGAGUAUCGGUCCGAUAUCGGUCAUGGUGGAGGUAGAUAUGAGAACAACCAAAUAUUCAAUUUUUUUUUAAAUUUAUAAUGUGCAUUUACUACAAAGCAAUCUUUAAAAUAAAAUAAAACUACCAUUGAUAAUUAGGUUACACUUGACAGCAAUUUUAGGAAGUGUUUUUAAUCUUUCUAAUACUUGAAAAAUAACAAUAGUGGUUUUAAGAAACGUUUCUAACUUUUUUAAUGGACAAUUGCAAAUUAGGAAAUAAAUAUGUAAAUGGGUACCAAUUUUUCUAAAAGCUUUUAAACUUUUUUCUAUUUUGGGUUAUAAUGUGUAUCAUGUUAUUAACAAUAUUUUUGCUUUUAUUUCAUGUCAAAUAAUAUAAUUUUUAACUUUAGAAGAGUCACAAACAAUAUUUGUGUUUACCCUAAAAUGCUUUUUCCUCGUAUGCAUUUCAGGGUGUAGGGAUUCUCAUGGAAAAUACUUCCCAUGGCUGGCAUGGGAGUUGAAGAAUUGUUGCAUGUGCAGCCAAAGGUAAAAGAGGGAUUCAUGUGUUACCUGAAUUGCAUUUUAUCUGAUUUACAAUUUGAUUAUAUGUAUGUUUGUGCAGUCUGGUGCUUGUGUUGCUCAUUUCUAUAUGUGCUAAAUGGAGGAUUUCUUUUUCAUCCAAAACCCUAGUAUUGCAGGAGAUAGUUGCUUUAUGGGUCAGUCUUCUUACCAAAUCUUAACUCUAUGCUGACUUCUUUUUCUUUGAUUUCCUACUCUUUGUUCUGCAUAUGUGUUUUCAACCUAACUAUUUUCAUAGGGAUCAAUGGAAAUUAUGAUUUUUCAAAGAAUAUUGAAAGUAGAAGAAAAUUAAGCAUUUGUGAAAUAUGGAGGAGCAAAAUGAUUUCUUAGUUUUAGCACAUCAGUUUACAGAAGAUAUUGUAAUUUCACAUGAUGAAAAUGAAGAGGGGAACCCAGAUUUCCAAUGGAGGGACUUUUUGGGCUUGGGGGACUAGAAAUGCAAGAUAUAAGUGCAAAUAUUGGAGUUACCCAACCAUAAAUCUGUCCGAAAAACUCGCUUUAAGGGGAGGAUGUUCCUCAUACACAAGAUGGAUUUAGCAUGGGGAUAAUUAGAUCCUAGAUGUUUGUAAGACUCAAUUCUAUCCAGUUUGCGUCCUUUUGGGGCUCCAUCAUGUGGGUUCUUUCCCCUUUUCGGUCAUCUUAAACUGGCUCUGAUGGUUGUUCGAUUGGUAACUCCGAAAGAUCAGAAUAGCUGUAUCUGCUAAGAUAAUGGAUGAAAUGAUAUGCUAACUUGGCAACUCGAAAAUAAUGGCCCGUGUCUUCCUCCUAUUAGGGUAUAUUGAAUUCUAAUUCAAGAAAAUUUUGCAGUAUUCAGGGUGGAAGCAGAUCACUUAAUCUUUUGUAGUAGGGAUUUAAGAGGUUUAGGCAGAUGCUUGAAGGUUUAUUCAUACUUAUUGUGAAGCAGAUCAUCUGGAAAACUGGGGAGUUAUCAUGCUGAAGACAUUUUUCUCCUUAUUGAAGUUUUCCAAACAAACCCUUCCAUCUAGGGUGAAUUAUUGGUUUCAUUUGGCUGAGUAGGAGAUUUCAGAUAGAAGCCAUCAAUCCUGGUCCUCAAGGGUGGAGUGGUAUGAUUACCAUCUAUGUAAAGACUUUGAAAUUUUUUUGUCAUUAACAAGCAUUUGUUGAUAAAUUUGCUUACCAUCUUCCACAAAUGAAAUUAUGGUUUUGAGUGUAUAAUUAUAACUGCUUAUGAUGAAAGGGAAAAACACCGACAAAGGACUCACUGGUUUUUUCUGCACAAAUGGGAGCAAUCUGUUAUUCUGGUUUCUUAUUACACACAAGCAAAACGAUCAUUUAUAGUUGUAAAUAGAGAGCUCUUCUUCUUACCUAGACUGAAAGUGACGGAGGUUUACUAUUUUAAGUUCAGUGACAUGUCCACAUUUUCUUCCUUUGCCUUACGAAGUGUUUCAAAUCCCAUUUCUUUCCAGACAUUCUUUAGCCUUUGAGCAACCGAAGAGAUAAGGGGACGCUUUUGGGGGUUCUCUUCUGUGCACAUCAUCCCUGCAUCGAGCAUGUGGAUACAGCAUUGCUCAAGCUUAUGUAAAGCACCACUCCCCUCUUCCAAAUAUGCUUCGUGCUUCAGUGAGAUGUCUACAAUAUCCAAAACUUGAUUUGGAAAAGCAGAACACACCCAUUUCCUUAGAUCAAGUCCAUCUGAAAACAUUUCAUUCGUUGGUCUCUUCCGUGUUAUCAUCUCUAACAUCAUCACUCCAAAACUGUAUACAUCUCCUCUUGUUGAGACAUCGAUCCCCUGCCCAUAUUCUGUGUACAAGCAAUAGGAACUAUUAGCUGAAUCACUGUACUUUUAUUUAUAUCCCUUCAAAUUAGGAUAGUCUGUUUAAAGAAAGAGACAUGGAUAGAUGCAGUUGGUUCAUAUUAACUAUCUGAAUAUCACAAGAAUGCAAGCAUCCUUCUUUUUCAUUUAGAUGUAAAUGCUUCUCAUUGGAAAAGCGAUUAGGAAACUAUCUGAAUAUCACUGUACUUAAAGAAAAGCGGGAGAAUAACCAACAAGACAUACCAUGUUGUUAAACAAAUUUAUCAUAAUGGUAUAUGAGGAAACACACAAAACCCUAUUUUUUCUUCUCGACUUCUAUCCUAUUAUUAACAGUUAGUUCUCUAGAAUAUAUGACCAUUGGGUAGGCAGUCAAAUGAAUGAAAACUAGACUAGUUUGAAGUUCAUGUGAGAUGAAAGAUUGGCAUUCAUGAUUAAAAGUAAUUAUCUAGUCUGAUAACUUAUCAUUUACUUCUCAGAUUUGAAGGUAGGUCGCUAACUUUUCCAAGAAGAUUCAAAGGGAUUAUGAAGCAUAGGAUUGAAGAUUUAUAUAAGGUAAUCAAAUGCAUACCUGGGGGGAUAUACCCGACAGAUCCUCGUAGAAAAGCAGUUGUGGUAGUAACAUGUCCUCUUGGUUUGUCACCUGAAAUGAGCUUUCCAAUACCAGAAUCUCCUACAUGAGCCACCAUAUCAUUGUCCAAAAGAACAUUUUGUGGUUUCAGGUCACAGUGUACAACUUGAACAGGACAACCCUCAUGAAGAUACUCCAAGCCAUUUGCAACAUCUAUUGCUAUUCCCAUUCUUUCCCUCAAUUUUAAUUCACUACCUCCUUCAUCUGACCCACCAGGGUAAAGAUGCUGUUCCAAGUUCCCAUUGCCUAUAUACUCGAGAACAAUAGCCUUGAAUCCUGAAUUCCAGGUCGAUCCUAUCAUUCUAACCAGAUUCCUAUGUCUAAUUUCAGACAGUAUUUGACACUCCCUUUUAAAACUUCUGUAACCCUGAACACGCUCUUCUUGCAGAACCUUAACUGCCACAACAGUUUUUCCAUCAUUGAUGAUAGCUUUAUACACCCUACCAAAACUUCCUUCCCCUAAUAGAUUAGCCUCAUCAAAACCGCCAGUAGCAAUUUCGAUUUCCCUUUCAGUUAAAGUUUGGGUUCCAUGAUGGGUUGGGGAAUACAUUAGAAUUGCAGUCUCCGCACCUGCACUCCUAUUUUUGAAGAAGAAACGACGAACAGUGAGGGCGAUCAGCACAAAGAGAAGCAGAGAACAAGUUAAUAUUGCAAACAGGUAAUAAAUCCAUUUCCUUUUCUUGUGCUUUUGUUUCAGAAUUUCACAUGGAUGGAGACCCAUAAGUUUGGUGCCACCACAGAGCCCCAUAUUCCCCAUGAAUGAGCUGCUUCCUAGAUUUUUAUACCUCCCACUAUUUGGAACCUCUCCUGUUAAUCUGUUAUACGAUAAAUUGAGAUUCUUGAUCUUCUGGCUGUCACCAAUCCAGAUUGGAACAUUUCCUGUUAAAUUAUUGAAAGCCAAGUCCAGAUAUCCUAGAUCAAUGAUUUGCUUCAGGGACUCUGGGAUUGUACCUUCAAGCAUGUUGUGAGAGAGGUUCAGAUACUCCAUUGAAAUGCAUCUUCCAAUCGAACUUGGUAUCACUCCGAAGAAUUUAUUCGCUGACAAGUCAAUUGCCAGCACAGAUGCCAGAUUUCCAAUACUAGCAGGUAGUUCUCCUUCAAGAUUGUUGUUCGAAAGGUUGAGUGAAAGAGCCAGGUUUGAGAAAUGACCAAUUUCUGUGGGAAGAGACCCUUGUAAGUUGUUAAAAGACAAAUCAAGAAGCAUUAGAAGAGAACAUUGGGUGAGUUCGAUGGGAAUUUUCCCUGUGAGGUGGUUGUGAGACAAGUAAAGAUAUCUCAACUGUGACAGAUUACCAAGAGAAGAUGGGAUUGUCCCACUAAUCAAAUUAUCACUAAGUUCCAGUAAACCAAGGUUAGCCAUCUGCCCAAGUUCAUCUGGAAUUGGCCCAAGAAGUUUGUUUCUUCCCAAGUGUAAUCUCUGCAACUGCCUAAGCUUCCCAAUUGUUGCAGGAACUCCAUUCAAAAAAUUAUACCACAGGUCUAGAGUCACAAGGCCGCUUAGAUUUCCAAUUUCAGCUGGUAGGUCUCCUGUUAAUUUGUUGUUUCGAAGAUUCAAGUAGUAGAGAUCUUUGGAAAGACUGCCAAUUGAAGCCGGUAAACUUCCUGCAAACAGACAUGCCCCUAAGUGCAGUUUCUGUAGACGUGAACAAUUAGUGAGAGGAGUUAGAAAACUGAGGGAAGAGUUGUUGGAACCGCUCACCAGGUUAUUGCUAUGAAGGUAAAGUCUCUCAAGUUUCUUCAACUUCCCCAACUCAGGAGGGACUUCCCCCUCUAACUGGUUGAGGCUAAGAUCAAGCAGUGUCAGCUGAGAAAGAUUGGACAGGGUCACUGGAAUUUUCCCAGAAAGUUGGUUUUCUUGGAAGUACAAUCUCUGCAAGUUAUGGAGCUUUGACCCCAAUUCGAAAGGGAUUGUUCCCGUUAACCGAUUCUCAAUCAGUGUAAUGUGACGCAGGGCAGUGCAAUUACUGAUGGAUGCAGGUAUGCUUCCUUCCAAAAAGUUGAUGUGGAGGUACAAUAUCUCCAGCUUUGUUAAUGCUCCUAGCUCCUCUGGAAUCCUUCCUGUGAAGUAAUUAACUUGCAAUUCUAAAUCUGUCAGCUUUGUCAGAUUCGAAAGAAACGAUGGUAUAGCUCCAGUGAGGCUGUUCUCAGAGAGACAAAGGUAUGUCAAGUUUGUCAUUUGGCCUAGUACAGCAGGAAUGCUUCCAGUCAGAUUGUUAUAGUCCAAGUCUAUUGUCUCCAGGCUCCAGCAGCCUUGUAUUGAGGCUGGAAUAUUGCCCCCAAGCUUAUUACCACUCAUGUUUAUGAAUGUUAACUCAGAAAGCUCUCCAAUGGUAGCUGGGAUCUCUCCAUACAAGCUGUUGGCUUGCAAAGAGAGGGUGGUGAGAUGGGAUAGAUUGGAUAUGUAUGGUGAGAUAACUCCCUGUAAGCGCAUGUUUAUGAGCUCAAUGGCUAUGACCCGGUUCUUAAGUUGCUGGUGGCAUGUAAUCCCUGUCCAGUUGCAGAAGAACCUGGUUUCAUUCCAAUCUUGGAGAUGACCAUCUGGAUCACCUGUUAUGCCUUGUUUGAAUUUGAGCAGAGAUUGACAAUCAGUGGAGUUUUUGCAGAGGAAUGUGGAAGUUGAUAGUAGAGCAAGACAACUAAGAGAGAAAAACACUGCCACAGCAACGGGAUUGUUCUGAUUGUAUGCCAUUCUCUCUCUCUCUCUCUCUCAGUGUGUGUGUACAGCUUUUGGAAUUCGAUGUUAGAUUUCAGGCCAAAAGUUUUUUUUCUCACUUGUUAGGUAAGAUGGGAUGAACAAUCAAUUUUCUUAAAAGUUUAAACUUAACGUGUAUCAUACUUUUCAACACUCGACGGGAUCAAUGGUAGAAGUUUAAAUAGAUGGGCUCAGUUGCUCAAAUGGUUCAGACAACUUGGCCUAGUGAGGGGCAGGUGGUGAGCCCUCAUUUAUCACUGGGACCAUAGAGCAAGACUUUUUGGUAUUGCCAUCACCUGUCUUAACUUCAUUCAACCUCUUCAAUGCUGUUUGACAUUUUCUUCCGUGACAGAAUUAAUAGCUAUGCAGUUUCCCAAAAUUUGCUCCGAACCCAUUGUCAUUUUUUUUUCUUCAUAUUUUAUAUUUUGUAUUUAUUUAUUUUUAUAUUAUUAUCAUUUAUUAUUUAUUUUAUUUUUCUUUCUUUUUCUUUUAUUUAUUUUAUUUUCUUCUUCCUUUCUUCCUCCAUGCAUGCACUACCAUUGUCACUUUUUUCUCUUUCUAAGGAUUUGCAAUUGACUCUAUUGAUAUUUUGUUGGUUGAGCAUGGAUUUAUGACUUAUAACACACACAUGGAAGGUUGAAUUUCAUGAAAGAAAAUGAGGGUUAGAAAAAUAAUAAAUGGGAAACAUUGAGCUUAUUGUGGGUUUGAUUUGGUACAAAUUCUUUUGUAUAUAUCUACUUGGGUAUACAAUUGAAUAUUUAAUUUAGGAAAAUUCAAAAAAUUGUUUUCAAUGAAAUUAAAAAAAAAAAUUAAUAACAAUUGCCUGGAAAUUUAUUUAUUUAAUAAACAUUGUUUUGUCAAUAAAAUUGUCAUCAAAGUUAAUUUUUAAUAAAAUUAUCUAAAAAAGUGAAUUUAUAAAUGAAAUUCUAUUUCCUUAAUUUAAAUGGGAUAAAAAGUAAUUUUUGUAAAUUAAAGUCUUAAAUAAUUUUUUCAUAAUAAUAGAACGAGAAUCUUUUUAGCAAAUUGAACUUAUACAAAUUAUUUUCUUUUCGUAAAUAAAGUUUGUAAAGAAAUUAUUUUCUUUAUAAAUAAAAUCAAAAUGAAAUAUUUUUACAACUAAAAGAAUAUUUAAUUGAGCAAGUGAUGAACUAUUUGCUUGUUUAAGUAACCUUUUGAAAUGUUCCCUCAGCAUAAUGGUAGUACAAUAAGAGGGUUUAUUAUGUACUUCUUUCUAUAUGGACUUUGGGUAUAAUAAAAACAAUGCUUUCUCUCUCUCUCUCUCUCUCUCUCUCUCUCUCUCUCUCUCUCCCCCUAGUCCACAGGUUUACACCCUCAGCUUUACCCUGGACUAAGUCCUGAAACCCAAAGAUUAUGCAGAAUCAAACUCUUAAAGUCUACAGCAUGAGUUGAAGAAAAAAGGAUGAGUAUUUAAUGUAGUAGUUGAGGAAUGAUUCAAUGUUUGAAAUAUAAAAAAUGCAAUCCAUUGAACACUUAGCUGGACUAUCUGCUUAUUGUAUACAUAAAACAUAGACUAAUCCGAAGACUUCUAUGUUAUAACUUUAGAAUUUUCAUAUCCAAGGUUUUCACUUCUUUCUCAUCAGAAGACAAAGAUUGUAACUGUUGCAGAAAACCUAACAACCUAGUUUAUUUGUUAAGGUCCCUUUCUCUCAUAAGACAUAAAUAUAUUCACUAUCAAACACCAUAAUGAUAAUAAUAAUGAUCUUCUUUUUGCUGUAUAUACACUACUUUAGAGUUUGUUCAAUGUUUGGUUACCAAGAAAACAGAAGGACUGAUCUGCUGCAUUAAAAGGUUAAGUAAUCCUGAAUACUUUCACUUCAUUUUGCCAUAUGUAGUUCUUCCAUUAGCUAGCCAUUUGGAACUAAAUCUUGUGGAGAACUUUUCAUAUUGGAGAUGGAUAUGAAAUUGGAUCUGCCUCCACCUCAUUGAACUUCACUUUCAACAUAUGCAUUGAGAAUAUUUAAGUUAAGAUCAGUAUACUAACUAACCCUACAUAAAUUAACAUGUAUUGGUGAAAACACUUAUCCUUGUAAGUGAGAAAGCAAAAAAAAAAAAAGAAAAAAAAAAAAGACCUACCCAUUGAAGACCAUCUAUAAAUUGACAUGUUUCUCAUGCAAAAAUUUUCACCCCUCACCUAAACACAAAGAUUUGUGAUUGUUUGGAGACAGUACUCUAACAAUGGAGAAAGGUGUUAGUUUCCUAGUAACUGUGGCCCUCAUGGCAUUGGCUUCAUCUUUUGCCUCUGCCUCUGAUCCAAGCCCACUGCAGGACACUUGCGUUGCCAUUGGGGAACCCAAGAAUGCUUGUAUUUCUUUAGUAACCAAUGAACUUGUCACUAUUUUCACUGAUCUUUCCAAUUCAAUAUUGGGCACAUUAAUGCAGUAGCCAUUGCUGGUCUAAGCAGCCAAAAUCCAGGUGUAAUCACCAUAUCCAAUGCAGUGUUUGGAUCAAAUCCACCAAUCAAUCCUGAUUUCCUGGCAACGGCCUUCCAGUUGGACAAGAAGGUGGUUGAAUUCCUUCAAGCACGAUUCUAGUGGGGAAAUAGAGAAAAUGAAGAAGCUAUGAACCUUUGAUUUGCUUGCUUGAAUGACUAUUUGUGAUGUUCAAUUACCUCAUUACAAUAAGAGGGGUUUAUUACUUUAUUUUGUAGCUCUUUUGGUGUGGACUUUGGUCCUAAUAUUAAAAUAAAGCAGUUUGUCUGUUAUGCAUCUUCUUCUGUCUCCAUCUCAAUAUUUGUCUUAAAAAAUCUUAUCUUGUGAAAAAACAACUCUCAGUUGAUUGAUUAACCUGCAUGUGCAGAAUGUUUAUUAAGAAUGAAUACUUAACUAGUUGUAAAACAGUACUACUGCUACUUCCAGCAUACUGCUGGCAGAAUUGGUGAUGAAGGAAUGAACAUUGAGGCAACAACUGCUGAGAAUUCAAAAAUAAAAAAGAUGCCAUUUUGCUUCUCUAUAUUUUCCCAUUAUAACUCAUCAACCGAGAUCGAAGAAACUAAUUAAGAUGUCCAAGUAAACCAUUUGAAUGGUGGGAGAAGCAUAAGUGUCAUGAAAAUUGUGAAGAAAGAAUGGAAAUGAAAACCCAGAAAUCUUAUGACAUCUACUGUAGACAAAUUAAUGUCUUAAAUAAUCUUUUCAUAAUAAUAGAACGAGAAUCUUUUUAGCAAAUUGAACUUAUACAAAUCAUUUUCUUUUCAUAAAUAAAGUUUAUAAAGAAAUUAUUUCCUUUAUAAAUAAAAUCAAAUUGAAAUAUUUUUGUAAAUAAAGUUCUAAAAAUUCAUUCUUUUUCUAGUAAAAGUAAGUCAAAAUAAUUUUUAUUGUCAAAUUGGAAUUUUUUGAAUAAAUUCUAUCCAAAUAAAAUUCAAUCAAAUCAUUUAUUGGAAAUAAAUAAAUAAAUUAAAAUCUUGAAAAAGUAAUAUUUAAAAUAUCUUUUUGUAAUCAAUUUAAUAAAUCGGGGUGUAUAAUUCUAAUGUCAUUUAUUUUGUACAUUUUUGUAAUUUAAUUUUAUAAUUAUUUUCUUGUAUAUUAAUUUGUGUCUUUAAUCUUGAUAUUCAUGAUUGAUCAAUUAACUGUCAUAAUUCAUUUUGUUUGUUUAGUAAAGAUUGUUAGUAUACAUGCUUAGAGGGGUAUUACCACUUAUUAUUGUACCUUUCUGAUAGACAACUUGACCCUUGAAUAUAGACUUGAUUUUACAGACAUGUCUUUUCUAAAUGAGGAUUUAUACAAAAUUUUCUUUCUUAUUUUAUUUUCUCUUUUAAAAAAUAAAUUAAAAUAAGUGGCAAUCCUAAUUUUUUUAUAUAAAAAAAAAAAAUCAAAAUUUCACAAUAAAAAUGAGUCUCACUGUCGAGUGGGAACACACGCAAAAAAUACGGGUCAACAUGUAUCCAAUUGAUUGGGGUCAAUGUCAAGAUGUAUGAUAAAGAUGCAAAAUUUGAAUAUGAAUCCUACCAUUGAUUGAAUCUUGAACUACCUGAUACUGGUUGUAACAAGUGAGAUAAGUUGCUAAGGUUUGCAUUGAAAUCCUCAAUUGAAAGUUACUAGUCAUCCAAAUAUGUAUAUAAAUCAAAGUGCACACAAUUGAUUUUCUUUCUCUUCUAAAUCCAAGAAAUCAACCUCCUUAAGCAAAAGACCUUAGAAUUCUUAGAGUGUGUUUGAUAGUGAUUUUAGGAAGUGUUUUUAACUUUUUUAAUAAUUGAAAAAUAAGAAUUUUGAAGUGUUAAAAAUGUUAGAAACGCUUCCUAAAAUCACUAUCAAACGCACUUUUAAUGUAAUUUGCUCUAUGUACCACUUGAUGUGGAUGUUAAGAUUGAUAUCCUUGGUCAUUGCCUAUAAUCCUAUAUCUAUAAUAGCAAGAAGACAUACAUUGAAACAUGAAUACCCUUUCACUAUGUUUGGUUUAUGGAAAAUACUAAGAAAAGAAAAUGUUCUGAAAAAUGUUUUUCUUAUAUUUAGUUUUAUUAUGAAAAAUAAGAAAAAAAUAAAAUAUAAUUAUAAUUAAUUAAAAUUUUAUGUAUUUUAAAAUUAUUUAAUAUUUAUAUAAUGAAGGAAAAUAAAUGAAACAAGCUUGAAAAAGUAUAUAAAAAUAAUUUAUUAAUUAUAACUUGUAUGCGACUAUUUUGUACUUUAAUCCCGUUUUUCUUUUAUUCUCUUGUAGGUACCUUGAUUUUAUAUAUUUGUAUCUUUAUUCGAUGAUUUAGAUUUCAUAUAUUUGUAUCUUUAAUUGAGAUUGCAAGAUCCGUACGGAUUCAGAUUAGGGAUGACAACGGUAUGGGCUUGAGGCAAGUUACUCAUAUCCCAAUCCAUUAUAUUUAUUCGUAUAUGUUAUCAUCCCCACCAAAAAAAGAAAUUAAAUGGGAAUAGGAAAUUCUCAUGCCUACCCCAUGCUAUCCCAUUAUUUAUUUAUUUAUUUUUCAAUUUUUAUUUCUAAAAUUUUAAGAAAAUUAAUAUUUUAAAUAUGUUAAAAAAAUUGAAAACUGAAAAAAGAAAUCAAUUAAAGAACUUUUUAUUUAACAUUAUACAUAAUUAGGCUGAGGUAGGAUGAAACAAACUCAUACCCAAAAUCACCCUGAAUCAAUCUUGGGUUUUUAAAAAUUUCUCAAAUUCAAGAUGAGACAAAAUCAUAUCCAAAACUAUCUCGAAUCCAUCCUAGAUUUUAAAAAUUUUCUCUAAUUUAUCUAAACUUUAUAUCAUUAUCUCAAAACGAGUACAUUAAGGGUAUGACAAGUACUAAAAAAAAAUUGGUAUAUUGUCAUCCCUAAUCAAGAUCCUAAAAUUUUUCUUUAUGAUAAUGAAAACAACAAUCAUAGUCGUCAUCUCUCUAUCAGUGUACUUUUUAGGUUUGAUCGAAUACACCUUAUGUGUUGCCUUUGGGGCAACCUAGCUCUCUCAAUCAUUGUCUAAAGUUCGGGUGUUUGUUUGUUUUAAUUUUUUUCGACUUUUUUUAAUACUAAAAGUAACUUAAUGACUUUUUUUUAACUUUUUAGUACUUAAUAAAAAUAAAAUAUUAAAAAACCAAAAACUGUGAUGUUUAAUACUUUUAAACACUAUAUAAUUUUAAGUUUUAUUCAAAAUUAAGUAAAAAAGAAAAAAAAAACACUCCUUUGAUGGUCAUCUAAAACUUUUAGGUCAAAGCUUGAUUUGGAGCUCAUUUAAACCUAACCCAAACUUCAACUAAAAAGACCUAUGUCCAACACAAUUAUUAGAGGUGUCCAAUGGGUCAUGUCGGGCCAACACAACCCAUGUUUAUCAGGCCAAUGCGUUGGCUCGACCCAUGCAAGCCAAAUAGGUGGCUUGACAUGGCCCAUAAACCCAUGGGCUAAUCAUGUCGUGUUGUGCCAUGUCGGUGAGUCGCCCCAUGGGCCACACACUUUAAUUAUUAUUUUUUAAUUUAUUUUGUCUUAAGUUUUUUAUUAUUAAAUAAAAUUUCUUUUUGUUACUUUAAACACCUCUAAUAAUUAUACUUUUUAUUUUUUAUAUUUAUAUUUAUCAAGUUUAUAACUGUAAAAUUUAUAAAAAUGUUAGUUUUUUGUUUUUAAAAAUAAUAAAAAGUGAUAUUUAAAGGGUUAAGUGGGCCAACAUGAUGGCACGACGGGUUGUUUCCUUAGGCCCACCACGACCCGCUCCUUUGGGCCAUGCCGGCCUGACUCGAUCUUUUGGCGCACUAGGCCACAGGCCAAAAUGGGUGGCUCGACCCAUUGGACACCUCUAGUAGUUACAUGUCUAGCAUCCAAACGGUAGACCAGGUGAGUUUUGUCAAACCCAACCCAUUCAUCCCCUUUGCUUCAUGUUGGCCACCCGGUUCAGACCAACCAUUGGGUUGAUUUGGGGUCUUGGUUAUUUUUGUUUAAAUAAAUUGCAAAGAAAAAAAAAACUUGGUUUGGAUAAAUAAACUUAAGUUGUUUUUAAAAUAAGCUUUUAUUUGAUUUUUUCUAAAAAAAUUUAUAAAUUCAAUUUGUACAAUAUUAAUUAUAUUUAAUUGAAGUCUUAUUAAAGAUUUAAAAAAAAAUAGUUUUUAAAUUAAAGAUAAAUUAAAAAAAAUCAUAAAAUAUGAAAUUAAUAUUAUAAUAAAAUCAUAAAUUAUGAUUUUUAUUUAAAAUGAUACUAUUUUAAGAUAUGAUUGAUUUAUUUAUUUUGAUAAGAAUGAAUAAUACUAAUUUUAAAAUAAUAAAAGGGUGAUAUAGUUUAUUUGAAAUAAAUUUAAAAAUAAAUAAAAUUUAUUUUUUUAAUACGUAAAUAAGCGAAGUUUUUCAUUAUAUCUACACCUGAGAAUUUAAUCAAGGAUAUAGUAUUUUGAACUAGUUUUGAUUCAUUCCUAUAAUCUUCAUUCAGUCAUUAUGGUUUAGACAAUUGAUAAUUAAUCUGUUGGCAUAAUUGAUUCUGCAAAACAGUAUCCUGAAUUUAGUAUCGAGGGAGGCAGAAACACAGCGAGAGAGAGAGAGAGAGAGAGAGAGAGAGAGAGAGAGAGAGAGAGAUGAUGCUUAACAAUUAACAGACUGCAGACUGCUUUAUUGUAGUAAUAUGCCCAAAGUCCACACCAGAAGAGUUACAACCAGACCCUCUUAUUAUACCAUGUUUGUUACAAUGAGGGAAUUGAACAUCAUGAAUCGUCAUUCAAGCAAGGAAAUCAAAGGUUGACAGCUUAUUCUUUUUCUAUAUUUCCCCACUAGAAUCGUGCUUGAAGGUAUUCAACCACCCUCUUGUCCAACUGGAAGGCCCUUGCCAGGAAAUCAGGAUUGAUGGGUGGAUUUGAUCCAAACAUUGAACUGGCUAUGGUGAUUACACCUGGAUUUUGGCUGUUAAAAGCGGCAAUGGCUACUGCAUUAGUGUGCCCAAUGUUGACUUGGAAGUGAAUGAGACUGAAAGGGAACACAAAAACAUCCCCCUUGUUCAGGACUUUGCUAAUGAAGCGGUGUUCAGGGUUGGAUGUGAUAAAGCCAACAAAGAGUGUUCCCUCCAAGACAAUGAAGACCUCACUGGCACGAGGGUGAAAGUGAGGAGGGUUUUGACCAUUAGGUUCAUAAUCGAUACGAGCCACUGACACCCCAAGAGUGUUUUCUCCUGGUAAUUGAUCAACAUUUAUAAGAUUGACAAUUGAGCCCACAUAAUUUGAUGUGUUUCCUGGAAUAUUCAGCCCUUGAUACAAGAAAUCCUCGGCCACGGUCAGGUUUGGGUUCUUGCAGAACUUCCCAUUUACAAAUACUGCAUGAAGAAGGAAAAAAGAAAAGAUAUAUCAUUAGUAUCAAACCAUACUCACCAUAUCAAUAAAAAGAGAAGUACUGAAAAUAGCUAUAAGAUCAUUGGUUACUAUAGAAAUACCAGCAUUAUUGGGCUCAUCAACGGCAACACAGGUGUCUUCCAGUGGGCUUGGAUCAUAGGCAGAGGCAAGAAAGGAAGCCAAUGCCAUGAAGGCCACGGUUACCAGGAAACUAACGCCUCUCUUCAUUGUUAGAGUACUGCCUCCAACAAUCACAAUCUUUAUCUUUAGGCGGGGAUAAGAAAUUUAGCAUGGAAAAGAUGUUAAUUUAUAGACCAGAGUCGAUGAGUUAGUCUUUGCAUAAACUCACCAAGUCUUCAAUGGGAAGUUUUUUCUUCUUUCUUUUUUCACUUUCGAGGACAAGCGGUUGCACCAAUACAUGUUGAUUUACGUAGGAUUAGUCAGUAAACAGAUCUUAACCAGAAUAUAAAGCAAUGUACAAUCAGGUGGAGGCAGGUCCAAUUUAAUAUCAAUCUGCAUGAUCCAAACGUUUACAUUGUUUCAACAUUUUUGUAUUAUGGUUUUUAUGAACUGUGUUUUUUUGAGUUGUAAGGAAGAAAAACUUAGGUUUAAAGUUCUAGCAUAGAAGAAAAAACCUGUAGAUUAAUUGAUUUUUUAAUCUGAACCAAACACAUGAUCAACUCCAUAAAAACAAGUGGAAAACAAGAAAAAAUGAAUGAUUUUUAAUAUGUAUUUGUGUGAGAAUGAUAGGUAUAGAUUUUUUUUUGAGAUAUACUGCCACAUAAUCUUCAUCCCUUCUAAAAAACGAGAGAGAAAAAAAAAAGAAUGAUUUUUCUGUUUGUAUCUAAGUGAGAAUGAGAUAUAGAAUUUCACUCCAGACGCAUUAAUUUUAUCUCAUACUGCCAUGCUAGACCAAAUCAGCCCUUAACGACAACCACACUGUUUUGUGGGGGGGGGGUUACUUUUGUUCCAUUAUAUUCACAGAAUCUUCAAAUCCAUUCUUUGGAUUAAUCUGCAUGAGGAAAUCUGUUACUGUUAGUGACGGAAACCUGUUAUUGUUAGUACCGGAGUCAACUGUUUGACUGGGUGGGUUCCAAUCAGAUCCUAAGGAAUGGGUCCAAAGGUCAUCCAUUAGAGUUAAUGGAAUUCAUUGUUGUUCUUGUGCCUUGAUGUGUGAGCCCAACACGCACAGAUGCAACUAGGGAUGGCAACGGGGCGGGUUUUUUCGGGUACCCGCCCUGCCCCGCCCCUAAUGGGAUGGGGUUGAAAUUUAAUAAAUGGGUUUUUAACGGGUAUAAGAUUUUUUUUUUUAAACCCGGGGCGGGUUCGGGUAUUGCCCCAUCCCGCCCCGCCCCGCCCCGCCCCGCCCCGCCCCGCCCCGUUUACAUAUAAAAUCAAUUUUAAAAUUUAAUUUAAUUUAAUUUAAAUUUUAAAAUUAAUUUUAUUUUACUAUUUUUAAUAUAUAGAUAAUAAAAAAAAAUUAAUAAAAUAAAUUAUAAAAAAUAUAAUAAUUUUAUUAUUUAUAAAUAUAUUUAUUUUAAUGUAAUUAAAAAUUUUAAAAGCAAUUUUUUUUUUUUUUAAAAAGGAGGCUAAACAGGGCUGGGCGGGGCGGGUUUGGGAAUUUCCCAUACCUGCCCCGCCCCGCCCCGCCCUGCCCCGUUUAAUUUUUUAAACGGGACGGGGAUGGGAAUUAUUUUUAAUAAACGGGGCGGGGUUGGGAUGGGGGCGACCCGUCCCGAACCUGCCCCGUUGCCAUUCCUAGAUGCAACAGUAUGAGUCAUGUGCAGGUAGAUUUGAAUAGACACAUCUUGGCAUCGGGAUGGCUUGAGCAAGGUGUAGUCUCCUACAAUAGGAAGCAUGGUGAACUGAUGCAUCACAUGAGCAAGACUCCUAUUGCAUGAGACAUACUCCUAUCACAUGAGACUUCUAGUCAAAGUGGGAGAUUGAGACCUAAUAUUGCAGGAAGAGAAAGGGACUCUUGACAUGAGAAGACUCCUAAUCGGGAUAGAAAACUAAAUCUUCAUGCAUAAGGAGAUAGAGAGAUGUGGCAUGAGAGUUUUAGAUUCAGUAGGACUUGGAGUCCUACUCAAAUUUGUCAUCUGUUAAGCUUGAGUCGGACGCAAACUAGGACUCAAAAGUUAGUCUCCUAGUAGGAUUAGGAUGGCUUGGUGCAACCUUCAUAAAAGGAGGGCGUGACCCAAUAGGAUGCUCCAAAAAUGGUACCUUACGUGAUAGGAAGGCCCCUUCAAAAGUCAUAUUGCUUGUACCACCAAGACACCACCACUAAGUAUUUGUCCAUAUCUUAAUCCAUGUGUGCAUGGAGAUGAACAUAAAUAUAUAUAGAAAAGAUAAAUAUUAGAAGACAAGUCUCCACAAAGAGACAAAAAUAUAGAAGGCUUCGGUCAACCAAUCCCGCUAUGCGUGGCAAAUGUUUCAGGGGACUGCGUAGGAUUGAACAGCCUUUGCUAGAGGGAAGAUCAAUCUAUGGGCGUGAAUAAAGAGAGAACUGGAGAAGUAUUGGAACAGGCGGGUCACCUCAGUUGACCAGGAAACAUGGCAUUAGUCAACGCAAACCUUGGCUUUCGAUCUCUACAUCGGUGCUGAAUAUUGUUGAACGGAAACACGUGGCCAGCUACAUUGGUUCUAGACAACAAAGGCUGCAACAAUUAACCUGAAAUUGAAAAUUUUGAAAUUUUUUUGAAAACAUAACAUCUUAAGAUGACUGGUAACCUUCUCUUAUUGGUUGGCUCUAAAUCAAAACCACUAUACAUGCAUUGUUCAAUGUAUAUAUGAUGUAGCAUUUUUGUGUUUUGUCUUUUACAAGUUGUAUAUAUUGGAAAAUUCUGACACCAUACAAAAACAUAGAAAAGCCACAAAUACCGCAACUUGCAUAUUUUCAUUUUAUGGCUGAAACUUUUCAAUGAAUCAUUAUCUUUAUUUCAAACUUUAAAAUUUUGAAAACAUAACAUCUUAAGAUGACUCGUAACCUUCUCUUAUUGGUUGGCUCUAAAUCAAAACCACUAUACAUGCAUUGUUCAAUGUAUAUAUGAUGUAGUAUUUUUGUGUUUUGUCUUUUACAAGUUUUAUAAAUUGGAAAAUUCUGACACCAUACAAAAACAUAGAAAAGCCACAAAUACCGCAACUUGCAUAUUUUUAUUUUAUUUUAAUUAUUUAUAGUUGAUUAGGUUUAUGGUAUGCCAUGUUGGAUGCUUUCAGAUUUUACAGAUCUAAGUUACUUUUAUUUUGAGAACGAAUAUUCCAUAAUUCAACCUUUUCCUUUUCUUGUUGGUAAUCAUGAUACAUAAAAUCUAGGAAUGCUAAACACAUCUUUUUUAAAAGUACUAUAUUGUAUUACAAUAGGAAAUGGCUUUUAUCAAAAGAGAAAUAUCCUUAAAUUGAUUAGGCCUAGCUCAUACUUUCAUCAACCAUAUGAUGACAUGAAAAAAAUCAAAGAAGAAAUAUGGGAAAUGGUACGAAAAGAGAUGGGUAGUAAUAACAUGAGACAACAACUUGUUUUACAACUAGUUGUAGCAGAAAAACCAAUGUUUAAAAUGAUAGAAGAGCCCCAACCACCAGAACCACCACUGAAACACAAGGUAUGCAUUUACUUACUAAUAAUACAAGAUUAAUAUAAGUGACAUAAAGCCUAUGUAAAUGAUAUUAUUUGUUGUAUUGAAGGUAAUUAAAUGUAAAUUAGCAGUGGAAAGAAAAGAAAAUGUUGUUCCAACUGGUACACUAAUAGAAGAAAAAGGAUCGAAUAGGUUGGUUGUAAUAAAUGCUGCACACAAGCCAGAUGCUAGACUCCCAUUUCCAAAUCCAUAUGAGAUUAUCAAUGUUGGGGAUGCUAUUGGCUUUGAGCUUGACUGGCCAACAAGCCUUGUCAUACUUGAAACUGAACAUCCUUAGGUAUGUCAUUUUAUGCCUAUAGUAAAUUUGAUUGUAACUUGGUAUUUUAUUGUUUAGGAGUAUAUAUAUCUAACAUUCCUUCCUUUUUCAUAGGUGUUGGAUAAAGGAAAGAAGAAGAUAGUGAAGACACCAAUUUUUUGAAAAUCUAAGCCUCAAAAUCAUUCGGUCAUUAAAAAUUUUCAAAAAUUUGUGGAUGGUUGUCUUGGUAAUGACAAGACAUACCCAAUACAGCUCCCCAUUUCACUUUUUGGUGUCGAAUUUCAAACAUAUAUAUCUAGAGAGGAUUGUGAAUACAUUAUUUCAUCUUUAGAGGUGUCAUCAAACUGCAUCUCCUUCUAUUUAUGGUGUGCACCUUUUAUUUUCAUUUGUUUUUAUUUUUUUAAAUAUGAGUUGCCCAUGUUGAACGAAAUUGGAUAUGACUAAUGAUAAUUUUCUUUUGGUGUUUUGAUACAAUAAUAGGCACAUGCAUGAUCAACUACAUAUUGCCAAAAAGGAAUCACAAUUUAUAUUUGUUAAUCCUUUUACAAUAUCACGAGCAAGCCUUAGUACUCAUCAAACAGAGAAAAGAGCACAAUUGUUGUCAAAACGCUUAAUGGAGUGCCAAGAUGCUAAAUAUGUUUUCAUACCUUACAACCCUGAGUAAGUGACAAAUAUUAUACUUUAAUUUGAGGUUUUAUGAUUGAUUUAUAUUUCUAAUUAGACGCUACUUUUGUUUUUAAUGUUUUAGCUUUCAUUGGGUCUUGGUGGUGAUUGAGCCAAGGAAAAUGAUAGUCCACUAUCUUGACCCUAUGCAUCACAAACUAUUUGAGGACUUAAAGAAUAUCGUAAACAUGUAAGUUCUUCCUAUUAUUUUUCAUAGUAUUAUUUUUUUUUUUUUAUAAAAAAUACAUUCAUCUCAAACACAUUGAACUUAUUUACAUAGGGCACUUCGAAUAUCUACAAAGAAAACAUCUAAAAGGGAGCCAUCUUGGCAACUAGUGCAGGUGACAUCCAAAAAAUUUUCUUUACACAUUAGCUUAUGCAUUUGCACCAUUUAUAUAUAUGAGUACUAAUGUUAUUUUAUAAUUGAUCGAUUAGUGUCCAAGACAAGAAGGAGGGUUCGAAUGUGGCUACUUUGUUAUGAGAUUCAUAAAAGAGAUAAUUUUUUAUCCUACAAUUAUUGCUUCAAAGGUAUUACAAAUUUAAUGAAUUGUACAUAGUUUUAGGCUUCCAAAUGUUAUGCAUUUUAAUGUUAUUUUCUUAUUUGAUUUCAGUUUGGUGAUAAAAAAACAUAUUCUCAAGUAGAAUUCGAUGAAAUUAGAGAAAAAUGGGCUACUUUUGUGCUACAACUAAUCAUGAAUCAUGUUGAUGCAUCAUGAUCACCAUGCAUGGUGAGUCCUUUAGCUACUACAUGAAUUUUUCCAUAGGUUCUUUGAAUAAUGUUUCUAUUUGAAAAAAAAAAAGAAAAAAAAAUAGUUCUUAGAUUUUUUUCAUUUAUGAUAACAUCGAUCCAUGUUUAUUUUCUUCAAUAAAAAUCUAUAAAACUCAUUAAACUAUGAAAUGCAAGUAUACACUUUUGGGAUGGUGGAAUGGAGAAUAAAAAGAAAGAAGAAGGCAACAAGAUUUUGGGUUUUUAAAUGCAACUCUUAUGUCAUACGUUGUAGGACAUAAAUGUUAAUUUAAUUAGUACUGAGAAAUUUAGAUUUUUAGAUGGGACUUUUAUGUCAUUUUAUAGUUAGCCGGUUUUAUGCUUAUGAAUUGGAGGUAUACAUGAAUCUUGGGAUCUUUAACAUUUCUAAAUCAUGUUUUGGUAUGUAUUCACUCUUCUUUUUUUAGUUUUGAUGGGUUUGAUAUGUUGGAUGUACUAUCUUUUUGUGAACAUUUGAUAUACAAAUAUUAUUAGAUGAUCAAUGUAUUAUGAGUUAUUCUAGAAACAUUACAGAAAAAUGAGUUAAAUAUAAUAUUAUUGUUAUAUUUAUGGACAAAAAAUAAAUAGGUUAAUCUUACUUAUUAAUUCAUAAGCAUUACAAAAAUUUAUAACUAAAAGCAAUCAUAUCUUCCACAAUAAUUUACAAUGAUGUGACACCAUUACUCAAAGGUGAUGCAUUUAAUAUGACAUUAUAAUUCAAAGAUGAUGCAUUUAAUGCGAUACCCUCUCAUCACUAGAAAUAUAUGGUGUCACUUCCGAAUGGGUCACCAUUUAUCUACUUUGGUGUCACUUCCAAAUACGUUACCAAUUGGUACCCUCUAUGGUAUCAGUGGAGAAGGUGACGCUAUGUUGUAGUGACACCCUAUGUUUAUGGUAACUCGUUAUAAAUGUCACCAUAUAUCUUUUUCCCUAUAGUGUAUAGCUCCAGUGAGGCUGUUCUCAGAGAAACAAAGGUAUGUCAAGUUUGUCAUUUGGCCUAGUACAGCAGGAAUGCUUCCAGUCAGAUUGUUAUCGUCCAAGUCUAUUGUCUCCAGGCUCCAAUAGCCUUGUAUGGAGGCUGGAAUAUUGCCUCCAAGCUUAUUACAACUCAUGUUUAUGAAUGUUAACUCAGAAAGCUCUCCAAUGGUAGCUGGGAUCCCUCCAUACAAGCUGUUGCCUUGCAAAGAGAGGGUGGUGAGAUGGGAUAGAUUGGAUAUGUAUGGUGAGAUAACUCCCUGUAAGCGCAUGUUUAUGAGCUUGAUUGACUCUAUUGAUAUUUUGUUGGUUGAGCAUGGAUUUAUGACUUAUAACGCACACGUGGAGGGUUGAAUUUCAUGAAAGAAAAUGAGGGUCAGAAAAAUAAUAAAUGGCAAGACAUUGAGCUUAUUGUGGGUAUGAUUGGGUACAAAUUCUUUUGUAUAUAUCUACUUGGGGUAUACAAUUGAAUAUUUAAUUUAGGAAGAUUCAAAAAAUUGUUUUCAAUGAAAUUCAAUAAUAAUAAUAAUAAUAAUAACAAUUGCCUGGAAAUUUAUUUAUUUAAUAAACAUUGUUUUGUCAUCAAAGUUAAUUUUUAAUAAAAUUAUCUAAAAAAAUGAAUUUUUAAAUAAAAUUCUAUUUCCUUAAUUAAAAUGGGCUAAAAAGUAAUUUUUGCAAAUUAAUGUCUUAAAUAACCUUUUCAUAAUAAUAGAAUGAGAAUCUUUUUAGCAAAUUGAACUUAUACAAAUCAUUUUCUUUUUGUAAAUAAAGUUUGUAAAAAAAUUAUUUUCUUUAUAAAUAAAAUCAAAUUGAAAUAUUUUUACAACUAAAAGAAUAUUUAGUUGAGCAAGUGAUGAACUAUUUUCUUGUUUAAGUAACCUUUUGUAAUGUUCCCCCAGCAUAAUGGUAGUACAAUAAGAGGGUUUAUUAUGUACUUCUUUCUAUAUGGACUUUGGGUAUAAUAAAAACAAUGCUUUCUCUUUCUCUCUCUCUCUCUCUCCCCCUCAGUCCACAGGUUUAGACCCUUAGCUUUACCCUGCACUAAGUCUUGAAAGCCAAAGAUUAUGCAGAAUCAAACUCUUAAAGUCUACAGCAUGAGUUGAGGAAAAAAGGAUGAGUAUUUAACGUAGUAGUUGAGGAAUGAUUCAAUGUUUGAAAUAUAAAAAAUGCAAUCCAUUGAACACUUAGCUGGCCUAUCUGCUUAUUAUUGUAUACAUAAAACAUAGACUAAUCCGAAGACUUCUAUGUGAUAACUUUAGAAUUUUCAUAUCCAAGGUUUUCACUUCUUUCUCAUCAGAAGACAAAGAUUGUAACUGUUGCAGAAAACCUAACAACCUAGUUUAUUUGUUAAGGUCCCUUUCUCUCAUAAAACAUAAAUAUAUUCACUAUCAAACACCAUAAUGAUAAUAAUAAUUAAUGAUCUUCUUUUUGCUGUAUAUACACUACUUUAGAGUUUGUUCAAUGUUUGGUUACCAAGAAAACACAAGGACUGAUCUGCUGCAUUAAAAGGUUAAUAUGUAGUUCUUCCAUUAGCUAGCCAUUUGGAACUAAGUCUUGUGGAGAACUUUUCAUAUUGGAGAUGGAUAUGAAAUUGGACCUGCCUCCACCUCAUUGAACUUCACUUUCAACAUAUGCAUUGAGAAUAUUUAAGUUAAGAUCAGUAUACUAACUAACCCUACAUAAAUUAACAUGUAUUGGUGAAAACACUUAUCCUUGUAAGUGAGAAAGCAAAAAAAGAAAAAAAAAAAAAGAAAAAAGAGAGAGACCUACCCAUUGAAGACUGUCUAUAAAUUGACAUGUUUCUCAUGCAAAAAUUUUCACCCCUCGCCUAAACGCAAAGAUUUGUAAUUGUUUGGAGACAGUACUCUAACAAUGGAGAAAGGUGUUAGUUUCCUAGUAACUGUGGCCCUCAUGGCAUUGGCUUCAUCUUUUGCCUCUGCCUCUGAUCCAAGCCCACUGCAGGACACUUGCGUUGCCAGACCCAAGAAUGCUGGUAUUUCUUUAGUAACCAACGAACUUGUCUCUAUUUUCACUAAUCUUUCCAAUUCAAUAUUGGGCACAUUAAUGCAGUAGCCAUUGCUGGUCUGAGCAGCCAAAAUCCAGGUGUAAUCACCAUAGCCAAUGCAGUGUUUGGAUCAAAUCCACCCAUCAAUCCCGAUUUCCUGGCAACGGCCUUCCAGUUGGACAAGAAGGUGGUUGAAUUCCUUCAAGCACGAUUCUAGUGGGGAAAUAGAGAAAAUGAAGAAGCUAUGAACCUUUGGUUUUCUUGCUUGAAUGACUAUUUGUGAUGUUCAAUUACCUCAUUACAAUAAGAGGGGUUUAUUACUUUAUUUUGUAGCUCUUUUGGUGUGGAUUUUGAUCCUGAUAUUAAAAUAAAGCAGUUUGUCUGUUAGGCAUCUUCUUCUGUCUCCAUCUCAAUAUUUGUCUUAAAAAAUCUCAUCUUGUGAAAAAACAACUGGAUAACAACUCUCAGUUGAUUGAUUAACCUGCAUGUGCAGAAUGUUUAUUAAGAAGGAAUACUUAGCUAGUUGUAAAACAGUACUACUGUUACUUCCAGCAUAAGUGUCAUGAAAAUUGUGAAGAAAGAAUGGAAAUGAAAACCCAGAAAUCUUAUGACAUCUACUGUAGACAAAUUAAUGUCUUAAAUAAUCUUUUCAUAAUAAUAGAAUGAGAAUCUUUUUAGCAAAUUGAACUUAUACAAAUCAUUUUCUUUUCGUAAAUAAAGUUUGUAAAGAAAUUAUUUUCUUUAUAAAUAAAAUCAAAUUAAAAUAUUUUUGUAAAUAAACUAAAAAUUAAUGUCCUAAGUAAAAAUCAUUUUUAUUGUCAAAUUGGAAUUUUUUGAAUAAAUUCUAUCCAAAUAGAAUUGAAUCAAAUCAUUUAUUGGAAAUAAAUAAAUAAAUUAAAAUCUUGAAAAAGUAAUAUUUAAAAUAUCUUUUUGUAAUCAAUUUAAUAAAUCGGUUUGUAUAAUUCUAAUGUCAUUUAUUUUGUACAUUUUUGUAAUUUAAUUUUAUCAUUAUUUUCUUGUAUAUUAAUUUGUCUCUUUAAUCUUGAUAUUCAUGAUUGAUCAAUUAACUGUCAUAAUUCAUUUCGUUUGUUUAGUAAAUAUUGUUAGUAUACAUGCUUAGAGGAGUAUUACGACUUAUUACUGUACCUUCCUGAUAGGCAACCUGACCCUUGAAUAUAGACUUGAUUUUACAAACAUGUCUUUUCUAAAUGAGGAGUUACACAAAAUUUUCUUUCUUAUUUUGUUCUCUUUUAAAAAAUAAAUUAAAAUAAGUGGCAACCCUAAUUUUUUUAUAAAAAAAAAAAAAAAAUCAAAUUUUCACAAUAAAAAUGAGUCUCACUGUCGAGUGGGAACACACGCAAAAAAUACGGGUCAACAUGUAUCCAAUUGAUUGGGGUCAAUGUCAAGAUGUGUGAUAAAGAUGCAAAUUUGAAUAUGAAUCCUGCCAUUGAUUGAAUCUUGAACUACCCGAUAGUGGUUGUAACAAGUGAGAUAAGUUGCUAAGGUUUGCGUUGAAAAGUUCAGCCAUGGAAAGUUACUAGUCAUCCAAAUAUGUAUAUAAAUCAAAGUGCACAUUCUAAAUCAAAGAAAUCAGCCUCCUUAAGCAAAAGACCUUACAAUUCUUAGAGUAUGUUUGGUAGUAAUUUUAGGAAGUGUUUUUAACUUUUUUAAUAAUUGAAAAAUAAGAAUUUUGAAGUAUUAAAAAAUGUUAGAAACACUUCCUAAAAUCACUAUCAAACGCACUUUUAAUGUAAUUUGCUCUAUCUACCACUUGAUGUGGAUGUUAAGAUUGAUAUCCUUGGUCAUUGCCUAUAAUCCUAUAUCUAUAAUUGCAAGAAGACAUACAUUGAAACAUGAAUACCCUUUCACUAUGUUUGGUUUAUGGAAAAUACUAAGAAAAGAAAAUGUUUUUCUUAUAUUUAGUUUUAUUAUGAAAAAUAAGAAAAAAUAAAAUAUAAUUAUAAUUAAUUAAAAUUUUAUGUAUUUUAAAAUUAUUUAAUAUUUAUAUAAUGAAGGAAAAUAAAUGAAACGAGCUUGAAAAAGUAUAUAAAAAUAAUUUAUUAAUUAUAACUUGUAUGCGACUAUUUUGUACUUUAAUCCCGUUUUUCUUUUAUCCUCUUGUAGGUACCUUGAUUUUAUAUAUUUGUAUCUUUAUUCAAUGAUUUAGAUUUCAUAUAUUUGUAUCUUUAAUUGAGAUUGCAAGAUCUGUACGGAUUCAGAUUAGGGAUGGCAACGCUAUAAGCUUAAGAUAAGUUACUCAUAUCCCAAUCCAUUAUAUUUAUUCGUAUAUGUUAUCAUCCCCACCAAAAAAAGAAAUUAAAUGGGAUGGGACGGGUAUAGGAAAUUCUCAUGCCUACCCCAUGCUAUCCCGUUUUUUAUUUAUUUAUUUUUCAAUUUUUAUUUCUAAAAUUUUAAGAAAAUUAAUAUUUUAAAUAUGUUAAAAAAAUUGAAAACUGAAAAAAGAAAUCAAUUAAAAGAACUUUUUAUUUAACAUUAUACAUAAUUAGGCUGAGGUAGGAUGAAACAAACUCAUACCCAAAAUCACCCCGAAUCAAUCUCGGGUUUUAAAAAAUUUCUCAAAUUCAAGAUGAGACAAAAUCAUAUCCAAAACUAUCUCGAAUCCAUCCUAGAUUUUAAAAAUUUUCUCAAAUUUAUCUAAACUCGUUUAUCAUUAUCUCAAAACGAGCCCAUUAAGGGUAGGACGAGUACUAAAUAAAAUUGGUAUAUUAUCAUCCCUAAUCAAGAUCCUAAAAUUUUUCUUUAUGAUAAUGAAAACAACAAUCAUAGUCGUCAUCUCUCUAUCAGUUUACUUGUUAGGUUUGAUCAAAUACACCUUAUGUGUUGCCUUUGGGCAACCUAGCUCUCUCAAUCAUUGUCUAAAGUUCGGGUGUUUGUUUAUUUUUUUAAUUCAUUUUGUCUUAAGUUUUUUAUUAUUAAAUAAAAUUUCUUUUUGUUACUUUAAACACCUCUAAUAAUUAUACUUUUUAUUUUUUAUAUUUAUAUUUAUCAAGUUUAUAACUGUAAAAUUUAUAAAAAUGUUAGUUUUUUGUUUUUAAAAAUAAUAAAAAGUGAUAUUUAAAGGGUCAAGUGGGCCAGCAUGAUGGCACGAUGGGUUGUUUCCUUAGGCCCACCACGACCCGCUCCUUUGGGCCAUGCCGGCCUGACUCGGUCUUUUGGCGCACUUGGCCACAGGCCAAAAUGGGUGGCUCGACCCAUUGGACACCUCUAGUAGUUACAUGUCUAGCAUCCAAACGUUAGACCAGAUGAGUUUUGUCAAACCCAACCCAUUCAUCCCCUUUGCCUCAUGUUGGCCACCCGGUUCGGACCAGCCUUGACAUGAACGGCAAGGUCCAAUGGAUUAGGUUGAUUUAGGGUCUCGAUUAUUUUUGUUUAAAUAAAUUGCAAAGAAAAAAAAAACUUGGUUUGGAUAAAUAAAUUUCAAUUGUUUUUAAAAUAGGUUUUUAUUUUAUUUUUUGUAAAAUUUUUUAUAAAUUCAAUUUAUACAAUAUUAAUUAUAUGUAAUUGAAGUCUUAUUAAAGAUUUUUUAAAAAAUAGUUUUUAAAUUAAAGAUAAAUUAAAAAAAAUCAUAAAAUAUGAAAUUAAUAUUAUAAUAAAAUCAUAAAUUAUGGUUUUUAUUUAAAAUGAUACUAUUUUAAGAUAUGAUUUAUUUAUUUUUAUAAGAAUGAAUAAUACUAAUUUUAAAAUAAUAAAAGGGUGAUAUAUUUUAUUUGAAAUAAAUUUAAAAAUAAAUAAAUUUUAUUUUUUUAAUACGUAAAUAAGUCAUGUUUUUCAUUAUAUCUACACCCGAGAAUUUAAACUUGACCCAAACUUCAACUAAAAAGACCUAUAUCCAACACAGUUAUUAGAGGUGUCCAAUGGGUCGUGUCGGGCCAACACAAUCCGAUGUUUAUCAGGCCAAUGCGUUGGCUCGACCCAUGCAAGCCAAAUAGGUGGCUUGACAUGGCCCAUAAGCCCAUGUGCUAAUCAUGUCGUGUUGUGCCAUGCCGGUGAGUCGUGCCCCAUGGGCACACACUUUAUUAAAAAUUUUAAUUAAUUUUUUUUAAUUCAUUUUGACUUAAGUUUUUUUAUUAUUAAAUAAAAUUUCUUUUUGUUACUUUAAACACCUCUAAUAAUUAUACUUUUUUAUUUUUUAUACACUUCUAAUAAUUAUACUUUUUUUUUAUAUUUAUAUUUAUCAAGUUUAUAACUGUAAAAUUUAUAAAAAUGUUAGUUUUUUGUUUUUAAAAAUAAUAAAAAGUGAUAUUUAAAGGGUUAAGUGGGCCAGCAUGAUGGCACGAUGGGUUGUUUCCUUAGGCCCACCACGACCCGCUCCUUUGGGCCAUGCCAGCUUGACUCGGUCUUUUGGCGCACUAGGCCACAGGCUAAAAUGGGUGGCUCGACCCAUUGGACACCUCUAGUAGUUACAUGUCUAGCAUCCAAACGUUAGACCGGGUGAGUUUUGUCAAACCCAACCCAUUCAUCCCCUUUGCUUCAUGUUGGCCACUCGGUUCAGACAUUGGGUUGAUUUGGGGUCUCGGUUCUUUUUGUUUAAAUAAAUUGCAAAGAAAAAAAAAACUUGGUUUGGAUAAAUAAACUUCAGUUGUGUUUAAAAUAAGUUUUUAUUUGAUUUUUUGUAAAAAAAAUUAUAAAUUCAAUUUAUACAAUAUUAAUUAUAUUUAAUUGAAGUCUUAUUAAAGAUUUUUUUAAAAAUAGUUUUUAAAUUAAAGAUAAAUUAAAAAAAUUCGUAAAAUAUGAAAUUAAUAUUAUAAUAAAAUCAUAAAUUAUGAUUUUUAUUUAAAAUGAUACUAUUUUAAGAUAUGAUUGAUUUAUUUAUUUAUUUAUUUUGAUAAGAAUGAAUAAUACUAAUUUUAAAAUAAUAACAGGGUGAUAUUUUAUUUGAAAUAAAUUUAAAAAUAAAUAAAAUUUAUUUUUUUUAAUACGUAAAUAAGUGAAGUUUUUCAUUAUAUCUACACCUGAGAAUUUAAUCAAGGAUAUAGUAUUUUGAACUAGUUUUGAGUCAUUCCUAUAAGCUUCAUUCAGUCAUUAUGGUUUAGACAAUUGAUAAUUAAUCUGUUGGCAUAAUUGAUUCUGCAAAACAGUAUCCUGAAUUUAGUAUCGAGGGAGGCAGAAACACAGCGAGAGAGAGAGAGAGAGAGAGAUGAUGCUUAACAAACAGACUGCAGACUGCUUUAUUGUAGUAAUAUGCCCAAAGUCCACACUAGAAGAGUUACAACCAGACCCUCUUAUUAUACCAUGUUUGUUACAAUGAGGGAAUUGAACAUCAUGAAUCGUCAUUCAAGCAAGGAAAUCAAAGGUUGACAGCUUAUUCUUUUUCUAUAUUUCCCCACUAGAAUCGUGCUUGAAGGUAUUCAACCACCCUCUUGUCCAACUGGAAGGCCCUUGCCAGGAAAUCAGGAUUGAUGGGUGGAUUUGAUCCAAACAUUGAACUGGCUAUGGUGAUUACACCUGGAUUUUGGCUGUUAAAAACGGCAAUGGCUACUGCAUUAGUGUGCCCAAUGUUGACUUGGAAGUGAAUGAGACUGAAAGGGAACACAAAAACAUCCCCCUUGUUCAGGACUUUGCUAAUGAAGCGGUGUUCAGGGUUGGAUGUGAUAAAGCCAACAAAGAGUUUUCCCUCCAAGACAAUGAAGAUCUCACUGGCACGAGGGUGAAAGUGAGGAGGGUUUUGACCAUUAGGUUCAUAAUCGAUACGAGACAGUGACACCCCAAGAGUGUUUUCUCCUGGUAAUUGAUCAACAUUUAUAAGAUUGACAAUUGAGCCCACAUAAUUUGAUGUGUUUCCUGGAAUAUUCAGCCCUUGAUACAAGAAAUCCUCGGCCACGGUCAGGUUUGGGUUCUUGCAGAACUUCCCAUUUACAAAUACUGCAUGAAGAAGGAAAAAAGAAAAGAUGUAUCCUUAGUAUCAAACCAUACUCACCAUAUCAAUAAAAAGAGUAGUACUGAAAAUAGCUAUAACAUCAUUGGUUACAAUAGAAAUACCAGCAUUCUUGGGCUCAUCAACUGCAACACAGGUGUCUUCCAGUGGGCUUGGAUCAUAGGCAGAGGCAAGAAACGAAGCCAAUGCCAUGAGGGCCACAGUUACCAUGAAACUAACGCCUUUCUUUAUUGUUAGAGUACUGUCUCCAACAAUCCCAAUCUUUAUCUUUCGGCGGGGAUAAUAAAUUUAGCCUGGAAAAGAUGUUAAUUUAUAGACCAGAGUCGGUGAGUUAGUCUUUGCAUAAACUCACCAAGUCUUCAAUGGGAAGUUUUUUCUUCUUUCUUUUUUCACUUUCGAGGACAAGCGGUUGCACCAAUACGUGUUGAUUUACGUAGGAUUAGUCAGUGUAUAGAUCUUAACCAGAAUAUAAAGCAAUGUACAAUCAGGUGGAGGCAGGUCCAAUUUAAUAUCAAUCUGCAUGAUCCAUACGUUUACAUUUAUAGUAGAGCUUUCUGCUCUUUUAGUAGUGUAUAGACAAGCAAAUAGAAGAUUACAGAGUAGGUGCCAGCUUGGAGUAUACAAUGACCCGCCCAUAUCAAACAUGGUUACUCCAUGAGGCUUGUGUAGGUUCAGUUUAAUGAGUAUCUAUAUAGCUUAAUUCACCAUUCAAAGUGUUGAGAGAUUGGCUGAUGAGAUUAAAUAUGUAGCCAAGUUCUGAGUUUCUAGCUCAUGUGCCUUCCACUGAGUGAAAAGUCCUUGGAUAAGCUCUGGCUUUCUGCUAUACGCUCAUUAGGCUUUCCUCAGUUACAAAAGCUUUGACUAUGAUUUUUACGCUUGUAGCCUUCGCUGUCUGAGCGGUUUCUAAGACUUUUUAAUUAGUUGCUUCUAAGUUGUCUUUAACAAGCAAGUCCGUAUUUUCUGGCGAGAAGCAAGAAAAUACCAAUUGAUUAGAUGAAGUCCUUCGACUAAUCUAUGCCCUAUACGUAAGGUAAUUAAGCAGUUACACUUUCCAAAUCUUCAAUGGAUGUCAUUUUUCGAAUUGAAAGGUUGAACUUCCUCAAGUUAUGCUCUAGACUCUAGAAUGAAUUCUACAUAAUCUUCGGUUUUAGGCCUUAUUCCUAGUUUAAAGCUAAGAAGUAAACCAGUGGACAGACCAUCUGUAAUCAGAUUGUGAUUAGUGUCAUGACCCAUUAGAUCUUUAUAAGAAGUUGGCCAUGGUUCAAAGUCACGGUAUCCGUCACCAAAUCGGUAAGUCCCGAGGUACAUCAGUUUCAACGUCACGGAUCGAUAUCGGAUGAUACGCAAAAAUUUAUAGUUUAAAAGCUCAAAACAAUUUAAAAAGAUUACAAAAAUAAAUACAAAUAAAUAAAGUUAAAAAUUAAGAAAUAAAAUUUUAUUAUGUAUAAAAUUAUUCAAAUUAUGAUAAAACAUACCUUUGUAAUGAUUUAUAAAAAUAUUAAAACUAUAAAAAAAAUAAUUUAAUCACUUAAUAUUAAAUAUGCAUCAUUAAAGAUGAAAAUAAUAAAAAGUGAAUUUAUAGUUUAUAAUUUUUUUAAAAUUAAAUAUUUUGAAUUUUUUAAAAAUAUUUUCAAUAUUUAAAAAAAUACAUCUAGGAAUCAUCUUUGAAAAAAAUAAACAUCAUUUUUCUUAUCAAAUGUAUUCUAAAUAAAACAAUUAUAAAAAUAAAGAAUUUUUAUUUGAAUGAGCAUAUUUGAAUAUAAUAUAUUUUUUCUAUACAUCUAUUCAUUUGAAUUGAAUUUUUAUAUUAAUAUUCAUUUCCUUUUUUAUUCAUGUAAACCUAAAUAUUCAUUAUUAAUGUACCAUAAUCCUAAUUCCCAUCAAAUUUGCAUUAUCCAUUUAAAUACAAUUAUUCACAACAUAUUCAUUAACUACUUAAAAAACAAAUACCCACCCAAAUUUGUAAUCCUAUCAAAUACCCAUAACCCAUUGGCAAACACGUAUUUCCUUUUUUUGGCACAAUACCCAUUUUCUCUCUAAAACAACACUUUGAGCUCUCUAUUUCUUUGCACAAUACCUAUAUUUGAAGGCUAAAAAAAUAGGCCUACAAAGAUACAAAAGGAUGGAGCUAGAAAUACAAGGAUGAAGAUGCACAAGGUUUGAAGACUCUAUACUCUCCACACUUCUUCACUUUCAUAUGUUUCCAUCAUCUUCUUUCAUCCACUAUUUUCGCUCCUAUAUUACCAUUUUUUCCCAUCACCCAUCACCCGAAGAGCUUAGUUUGAAUAUAAUCUUGGGGUUAUCUCAAAGUUUCUUUGUGAUUCAACAAGUUUUUUCAUGAGUCAACCAAAUAUUAGACUCAGGUAUCGGUUCAGUACUAGUCAUGGACAAGAUUUUAACCCUGUUUGAGCUCUCUAUUUCUUUGUACAAUACCAAUUUUUAAAGGCUCACAAAAUAACCCUAUGAAAAUACAAGAGGAUAGAGAUGCAAAUACAGGGAUGAAGAUGCAAAAGGUUUGAAGACUUUGAACUCUCCAUAUUCUUCGGUUUCAUGGGUUUCAAUCUUCUUCUCUCAUCAACUAUUUCUGCUCCAAUAUUACCAUUUUUUUCCAUCACCCAUGACCUGAAGAGCUUAGCUUGGACAUAAUCUUAGGGAUAUCUCAAAGUUUCUUUGUGAUUUAACAAGUUUAUUCAUGAUUCAACCAAAUAUUGGACUCGGAUAUCGGUCCGAUACCGAUCAUGGCUGAGGCAUAUAUGAAUCGGUUGAGUCGUACCGGUCUCGACCGAGAUUUUGAACCUUGUUUGAGCUUUCUAUUUCUUUGCACAAUACUAAUUUUUGAAGCCUUAUAAAAUAGCCCUACGAAGAUAUAAGAGGAUGAAGAUGCAAAUACAAGGAUGAAUAUGCAAAGGGUUUGAAGACUUUGAACUCUCCAUACUUCUUCACUACCAUAGGUUUCAAUCUUCUUCUCUCAUCCACCAUUUCCAUUCCAAUAUUACCAUUUUUUUUUCCAUCACCCAUCACUCAAAGAGCUUAGUUUGGACAUAAUCUUGGGGUUAUCUCAAAGUUUCUUUAUGAUUCAACAAGUUUAGUCAUGAGUCAACUAAAUAUUGGACUUGGGUAUCAGUCUGAUACUAGUCAUGACCAAGAUUUUGAACCCUUUUUGAGCUCUCUAUUUCUCUACAUAAUACCCAUUUUUGAAUGCUCACAAAAUAACCCUACAAAGAUACAAGAUGAUAGAGAUGCAAAUACAAGGAUGAAGAUGCAAAGGGUUUGAAGACUCUAAACUCUCCAUACUUCUUCACUUUCAUAGGUUUCGAUCUUCUUCUCUCAUCCGCCAUUUCAACUCCAAUAUUACCAUUUUUUUCCAUGACCUAUCACUCGAAGAGCUUAUUUUGGACAUAAUCUUGGGGUUAUCUCAAAGUUUCUUUUUUAUUCAACAAGUUUAUUCAUGAGUCAACCAAAUAUUGGACUUGAGUAUUAGUUCGGUACUGGUCAUGGCCGAGGUGGAUAUGACUUGGCCAAGUCAUACUGGUCUCAAUCGAGAUUUUGAACCCUAUUUGAACUCUCUAUUUCUUUGCACAGUACCCAUUUUUUAAGGCUAACAAAUUAGCCCUACGAAGAUAUAAGAGGAUUGAGAUGCAAAUAAAGAAAUGAAGAUGCAAAGGGUUUGAAGACUCUAAACUCUUCAUACUUUUUCACUUUCAUGGGUUUCAAUCGUCUUAUCUCAUCCACCAUUUUCGCUCCAAUAUUACAAUUUUUUUCCAUCACCCAUCACCCAAAAAGCUUAGUUUGAACAUAAUCUUGGAGUUAUCUCAAAGUUUAUUUUUUAUUCAACAAGUUUAUUCAUGAGUAAACCAAAUAUUGGACUCAAGUAUCAAUUCAAUAUCAAUCAUGGUUGAGGCGGAUAUGACUCGAACAAGUUGUACUUGUCUCAACCGAGAUUAUGAACCCUAUUUGAGCUCUCUAUUUAUCUCUACAAUACCCAUUUUUGAAGGCUUACAAAAUAGUCCUACGAAGAUACAAGAUGAUGGAGAUGCAAAUACAAGGAUGAAAAUCCAAAGAGUUUGAAGACUCUGAACUCUCCAUAUUUUUUCACUUUCAUGAGUUUUGAUUUUCUUCUCUUAUCUGCCAUUUCCGCUCCAAUAUUACCAUUUUUUCCAUUACCCAUCACUUGAAGAGCUUAGUUUGGACAUAAUAUUAAGGUUAUCUCAAAUUUUCUUUGUGAUUCAACAAGUUUAUUCAUAAGUCAGCCAAAUAUUGGACUUGGGUAUCUGUUCGAUACUAGUCAUAUAUGGUAGAGGCGGAUAUGACUCAACCAAGUUGUACUAGUCUCAACUAAGAUUUUGAACCCUAUUUGAGCUCUCUAUUUCUCUGUACAAUACCCAUUUUAAAGGCUCACAAAAUAGCCCUACCAAGAUACAAGAUAAUGAAGAUGCAAAUAUUACUCAUUGAAUAUCUAGCAAUAAUUGGUUUAUUUUUUAUUUUUGAAUUAUUUUUUAAAAUUAAAUAUCUAUUAAUGAAACAAAAAUACUAAUGAUUAAUACCAAAAAGUGCUAUUUUGUAGAUCUAAUUAUAAUGGUUUUAAGCACCUUUGAGUAGUAAUCAUAUUCAUUUAACCCAAUUAAUUCAUUAAGGUCCUUAGUAAUUGGUUUUAACCAUUUUGUGGCAAGUUUACAUGUUUUUAUCAGCUUAUGAAUCAAUUCAAGCAUGCCAAAUGAUGGAGGAGCUACUUAGACAAGUUAAAGCAAGGAUUUUGGAAGUUUACAGGCUUGAAUUUCAAGUGGAAACACGAGCACAAGCAAUGGAGAAGAGGAAAACAGAGUGAAGAAAACAGAGGACAGCAGCUGCAGUCUUCUUUUGCACUUUUGGAGCACUUCCCGAAGUCCAUUUUCUACAUUCUAUAUACCAUUUCAAAGCUCAGGAAGUCAAUAAUCCAAUGCUUCAAACGGUGCGUGAUUCGGAGUUGAAACGAAGGAGUUACAGCCAUUGCAAUCAGAUCACUCCAAGCUGCUGCGAAAUCAGCCUUUUGUUGCGAGAAUUUCGCAGCCUUUUUGUACAGUGCAAUGGAAUUCCUCCUGAAGCUACCCGAUAUAUGCUGCAAGCUGGAAUGCUGAGAACCUCAAGGUGGAAGCCAACUUCGCAGCCCUGCGAAGAUAGCUUGGUGUUGCGAAAUUAUUUCGCAACCCUCUUGAGUGUCUGCGAAAUCUCGCAGACCUCGUUUUCACCUGCGAAAUGUCCUUAGUGCUUCCUGAUAUUUGUGCACCGACUCUUUUGGAUAUUUUUCUUCAGAUAUUUUUGUAUAAAUUUCCAUUUUCUCCUUGUUUUCAGCCACUCAUGUAAUUCCUUAGCUAGGAAGUNNNNNNNNNNNNNNNNNNNNNNNNNNNNNNNNNNNNNNNNNNNNNNNNNNNNNNNNNNNNNNNNNNNNNNNNNNNNNNNNNNNNNNNNNNNNNNNNNNNNGAGAGAGAUUUAGUGUUUGAACCCAUUAAUGGGAAGCAUCUGUACAACACCGGUUGGAGAAGGAACUAUAGGUUAAUUCUCUAAGGCGAGGAAAAAAAACAAGUGACCGGAACUCCCUUUUUGUAUGAGGAACCUGAGCCUAGUGAUCUGAACUCCAAGAAACACUUUUCUUUGUAAGUAAAAUCAGUUACUAUUUUUGGUUAGCUUAAAACCAAACCUUUUUCAUUCAAACAUCUUUAUGUUUUCUUAAGCUAACCUUGAAAUGAAAAGGCACCAAUUCAGCUUUGAAUUAAUAUCAUUUGUGAAGUGAAAACCCAUCCCAGUGGACGAUCCUAGAGCCACUAUGCUAUAGUAGCUUUGUCUUUGCUACCCUAGUAUAUGGUGUAAUAGGUUAUAAAUUUUGUUGAUUACUCCCUCAAUCAAGGAGCACCAGCUGGACACGAAUCAGCUGAGACACCAAUUGGGCACGAAUCAACUAACUCUUUCUUGAUUUUCUUCUCUCAUCCACCAUAUCCGCUCCAAUAUUGCCAUUUUUUCCAUCACCCAUCACCCUAAGAGCUUAGUUUGGAUAUAAUCUUAGGGUUAUCUCAAAGUUUCUUUUUUAUUCAACAAGUUUAUUCAUGAGUUAACCAAAUAUUGGACUCGGGUAUUAGUUCGGUACCGGUCAUGGCCAAGGUGAAUAUGACUUGGCCGAGUCAUACCAGUCUCAAUUGAGAUUUUGAACCUUGUUUGAACUCUCUAUUUCUUUGCACAAUACCCAUUUUUUAAGGCUAACAAAAUACCCUAACAAAGAUACAAGAGGAUUGAGAUGCAAAUAUAGGAAUGAAGAUGAAAAGGGUUUGAAGAGUCUAAACUCUUCAUACUUUUCCACUUUCAUGGGUUUCAAUCUUCUUCUCUCAUCCACCAUUUUUGCUCUGGUAUUACUAUUUUUUUUCCAUCACCCAUCAUCCAAAAAGCUUAGUUUGGACAUAAUCUUGGAGUUAUCUCAAAGUUUCUUUUUUUAUUCAACAAAUUUAUUCAUGAGUCAACCAAAUAUUGGACUAGAGUAUCGAUCCGAUACUGAUAAUGGCUGAGGCGGAUAUGACACGAUCAAGUCGUACGAGUCUUAACCGAGAUUAUGAACCCUGUUUGAGUUCUCUAUUUCUAUACACAAUACCCAUAUUUGAAGGCUCACAAAAUAGUCCUACGAAGAUACAAGAUGAUGGAGAUGCAAACACAUGGAUGAAAAUCCAAAGCGUUUGAAGGCUCUGAACUCUCCAUAUUUCUUCGCUUUCAUGGGUUUCGAUCUUUUUCUCUCAUCCACCAUUUUCGCUCCAAUAUUACCAUUUUUUCCAUUACCCAUCACGCAAAGAGCUUAGUUUGGACAUAAUAUUAUGGUUAUCUCAAAUUUUCUUCAUGAUNNNNNNNNNNNNNNNNNNNNNNNNNNNNNNNNNNNNNNNNNNNNNNNNNNNNNNNNNNNNNNNNNNNNNNNNNNNNNNNNNNNNNNNNNNNNNNNNNNNNAAGAGCUUAGUUUGGACAUAAUAUUAUGGUUAUCUCAAAUUUUCUUCAUGAUUCAACAAAUUUAUUCACAAGUCAACCAAAUAUUGGACUUGGGUAUCAGUCCGAUACUAGUCAUGGUGGAGGCAGAUAUGACUCGGUUGAGUCGUACCAAUCUCGACUAAGAUUGUGAACCCUGUUUGAACUCUCUAUUUCUUUGUACAAUAUCCAUUUUGAAGGCUCACAAAAUAGCCCUACCAAGAUACAAGACGAUGGGGAUGCAAAUAUUACUCCUUGAAUUACUGGCAAUAAUUAGUUUAUUUUUUUAAUUUUGAACUAUUUUUUAAAAUUAAAUAUUUGUUAAUGAAACAAAAGCACUAACUCUUUCUUGAUUUGGAGUUUAUUUGUUGAAUGAAAAUUUUUGGAUAAUUAUGGUUUUGCGCAUAAGAGAAAUAAUGAACCAAUUGUUGUUCAUAAAUUCAUAAAAUUGGAUUAGCAUUUGAGUUUCAAAUUAUUUUUAAAAGUGCUUACAUUCAUUAAUGAAUCUAAUACACUAAGUUCCUCUUUGGGAUGAAUUUUGAAUGAGGCUAAAAGCUUUUCCUAACACUAGAAAGCAAUCUUAAAAAAAUGGUUGAAAAUCACUUUUAAAAAUCUAAAUAAUGACAUGAUUCUUCGAACUAUCACAUUUUUGUUAUAUUAUACAUUGCCAAAACAUUCUCUGAACAUAUUUUAAAAAAAAUUUAUAAUAUGCAUUUCCUACAAAGCAAUCUUAAAAAUAUAUAUAUAUAUAUAUCAUCAAUAAUUAGAUUAUGGUGUGAUAGUGAUUUUAGCAAUUGUUUUUAGCCUUUUUAAUACUUUAAAAAUAACAGCAGUGAAUUUAGGAAACGUUUCUAGCUUUUUUAACGCUUGAAUGAUAUAAAUUUUCAAGUAUUAGAAAAGUUAAAAAUGUUUCCUAAAAUCACUACUAAACAGGCUUUAAUCAGUAGUAGUAAUUAAUUGGUAUUGAAUAACUGUAAUGCAGUUUCCUGAAUGUAGUAUUGAGGGAGAGAGAAACAGAGAGGAAGAGAGAGAUGCUUAACAAACAAAUUGCUUUAUUGUAGUAAUAUGCCCAAAGUUCACACCAGAAGAGUUACAACUAGACCCUCUUAUCAUACUAGGAUUGUUAUAACGAGGGAAUUGAACAUCAUAAAUAGUCAUUCAAGCAAGGAAAUGAAAGGUUGAUAGCUUCUUCUUUUUCUAUAUUCCCCCACUAGAAUCGUGCUUGAAGGUAUUCAACCACCUUCUUGUCCAACUGGAAGGCCCUUGCAAGGAAAUCAGGAUUGAUGGGUGGAUUUGAUCCAAACACUGCAUUGGCUAUGGUGAUUACACCUGGAUUUUGGCUGUUCAGACCAGCAAUGGCUACUGCAUUAGUGUGCCCAAUGUUGAAUUGGAAGUGAAUGAGACCGAUAGGGAACACAAAAACAUCCCCUUUGUUGAGGACUUUGCUAAUGAAUCGGUUUUGAGGGUUGGAUGUGACAAAGCCAACUAAGAGUGUUCCCUCCAAAACAGUGAGGAUCUCACUGGCACGGGGGUGAAUGUGAGGAGGGUUUUGACCAUAGGGUGCAUAAUUGAUACGAACCAGUGAUAUCCCAAGAGUGUUUUGUCCCGGUAGUACAUCAACAUUUAUAAUAGUGACAUUUGAGCCCACUAGAUUUGCUGUGUUUCCUGGAAUAUUCAGCCCUUGAUACAAGAAAUCGUCAGCCACGGUCAGGUUUGGGUUCUUGCAGAACUUUCCAUUUACAAAUACUGCAUUUAAAAAAACAAAAGGAAAAUAAAAGAUAGGUCAUUAGUAUCAAACCACCAUCAAUGGAAAGAUUAGUGAAAAUAGUGACAAGAUCAUUGGUUACUAAAGAAAUACCAGCAUUCUCGGGUUCAUCAAUGGCAACACAAGUGUCCUGCAGUGGCCUUGGAUCAAAGGCAGAGGCAAGAGAGGAAGCCAAUGCCAUGAGGGCAACAGUUACCAGGAAACUAACACCUUUCUUCAUUGUUAGAGAACUGUCUCCAACAAUCACAAUCUUUAUCUUUAGGUGGGGGUGAGAAAUUUUGCAUGGGAAAGAUGUUAAUUUAUAGACCAGUCAAUGAGUAAAGUCUUUGCAUAAACUCACAAAGUCUUCAAUGGGUAGUUUUUUCUUUUCUUUUUUUUCUUUCUUUUUUCUUUUUUUCACUUUCAACGUCAAGUGGUUACACCAAUACAUGUUGAUUUAUGUAGGAUUAGUUAGUUACUAUACUGAUCUUAACUAGAAAAUUCUCCAUGCGUGUGGAAAGUGAAGUUCAAUUAUUGAUGGAGGCAGGUCCAAUUUCAUAUCAACCUGCAUGAUCCAUACAUUUACAUAAAUAGUAGAUUGAAUAUUACUACCAUUCAAACACUGAAAAAUAUGUAUAGUGUAUUGACAAGAAAAUAGAAGAUUACAGAGUAAGUGCAGGCUUGGACUAGACAAUAACCCACCCAUUCCAAACAUGGUUACUCUAUGAGGCUUGUGUAGGUUCAGUUUAAUGAGUAUCUAUAUAGCUUAAUUAACCAGUCAAAGUUUUCAGAGAUUGGCUGAUGAGAUUGAAUAUGUAGCCAAGUUCUGAGUUUCUAGCUCAUGUGCCUUCCACUGAGUGAAAAAUCCUUGGAUAAGCUCUAGGGUUGCUUCACUUUAGUGAAAAAUAGGGAUAAAUUCAAAGAUUUUCUGCUAUGCUCAUUAGGCUUUCCUCAGUUACAAAAGCUUUGGCCAUGAUUUUUAUGCUUGCAGCCUGCCCUGUCUGAGCAGUUGGCUCAAAAGUUAUUAUUAUUAUUAUUAUUUUGGUUUGAGAGAGAAAGAGAUCUUAAUAAACACCUUUAAACUAAGACUUUUUAAUUAGUUGUUUAUAAGUUGUCUUUAACAAUCACGUCGGUGUUUCCUGGUGAGAAGCAAGAAACCUUGAUUUGAAAAAUACCAAUAAAUUAGAUGAAGUCCUCAGGUUAACCUAUGUUUUAUAGGUGAGGUAAGCAGUUACACUUUCCAAGUCUUCAAUGGAUGUCAUUUUUCAAAUUUAAAGGUUGAACCAUUCUUCGAUCACACUCCUUUCUCAUCCUUUUCUCCUCAACUUAUGCUCUAGACUCUUGAAUGGAUUCUACAUAAUCUUCGGGUUUUAGGCCUUAUUCCAGUGUAAAGCUAAGAAGUAAACCAGUGGGCAGGCCAUCUAUAAUCAGUUUGUGAUUAGUGUCAUGACCUAGAUCUUUAUAAGAAGUUGGGGUCAGAGGUUUGUUUACAGUGGAUGUCAUAAGAUUUAUGGGCUUUCAUUUCUAUUCUUUCCUCACUAUUUCAUAACACUUAUGCUUCUCCCACCAUUCAUAUGGUUUUACUUGGACAUCUUAAUGAGUUUUUUCGAUCUCAGUUGAUGGGAGUUAUAAUGGGAUAAUUUAGAGAAGCAAAUUAAUGGCAUCUUUCCAUUUCUGAAUUGUAUGGGGUUGUUGCCUCAAUGUUCAUGUCUUCAUCACCAAUUCUGUCAGCAGUAUGCUAGAAGUAACAGUAGUUCUGUUUUAUGCAUAUCCUGUAUUUAAUCAAUCAAUCAACUGAGAUUUGUUAUUCAGUUGCUUCUUUUACAAGUGAAAUCUCAAAGAUUUGUUUAAGAUUUUUUAAUGAAAACAUAGGGUAAUCCUGGAUAUGGCAUUGGAUAGUGAGAGAAGAAGAUGGCUAAUAGACAAACUGCUUUAUUUUAAUAUUAGGACCAAAGUCCACAUCAAACAACCUACAACAUAAAGAAAUAAACCCUCUUAUUCUAGGAUGACUAUAAUGAGGUAAUUGAACACCACAAAUAGUCAUUUAAGCAAGGAAAGCAAAGGCUGGUAGCUUCUUAAUUUUCUAUAUUUUCCAACUAGAAUAGUGCUUGAAGGUAUUCAACCACCUUCUUGUCCAACUGGAAGGCCCUGGCAAGGAAAUCAGGAUUGAUGGGUGGAUUUGAUCCAAACACUGCAUCGGCUAUGGUGAUUACACCUGGAUUUUGGCUGUUCAGACCAGCAAUGGCUACUGCAUUAGUGUGCCCAAUGUUGAAUUGGAAGUGAAUGAGACCUAUAGGGAACACAAAAACAUCUCCCUUGUUGAGGACUUUGCUAAAGAGGCGGUUUUGAGGGUUGGAUGUGACAAAGCCAACUAAGAGUGUUCCCUCCAAGACAGUGAGGAUCUCAGUGGCACGAGGGUGAGUGAUCAUGUGAGGAGGGUUUUGACCAUAGGGUGCAUAAUCUAUACGAACCAGUGAUAUCCCAAGAGUGUUAAGUCCUGGUAUUGCAUCAACAUUUACUGUAGUGACAUUUGAGCCCACUCGAUUUGCUGUGUUUCCUGGAAUAUUCAGCCCUUGAAAGAAGAAAUCCUCGGCCACAGUCAGGUUUGCGUUCUUGCAGAACUUUCCAUUUACAAAUACUGCAUUUAAAAAGAAGGGGAAAAGAAAAGAUAGGUCGUUAGUAUCAAACCAUUAUCAAUGGAAAGAGUAGUGAAAAUGGCAAUAAGAUCAUUGGUCACUAUACAUAUAUAGAAAUAUCAGCAUUCUUGGGUUCAGGAAUGGCAACACAAGUGUCCUGAAGUGGGCUUGGAUCAAAGGCAGCGACAAGAGAGGAAGCCAAUGCCAUGAGGGCAACAGCAACCAGGAAGCUGACACCUUUCUUCAUUGUCAGAGUACUGUCUCCAACAAUCAGAGUCUUUAUCUUUAGGUGGGGGUGAUAAAUUUUGCAUGGGAAAGAUGUUAAUUUAUAGACCAGAAUCGGUGAGUUAGUCUUUGCAUAAACUCACAAAGUCUUUAAUGGGUAGUUUUUUUUUUUCAUUUUCAAGGACAAUUAGUUACACCAAUACAUUUUAAUUUAUGUAGGAUUAGUUAGUAUACUGAUCUUAACUAGAAUAUUCUCCAUGAGUGUGUGGAUAGUGGAGUUCAAUUAUAGGUGGAGGCAGGUCAAAUUUCAUAUCAAUCUACAUGAUCCAUGCAAUAACAUAAAUAGUAGAGCUUUCUGCUCUUUUAGUUUUAGUACCCAAACACUGAAAAAUCUCUAAAGUAGUGUAUAGACAAGCAAAUAGAAGAUUACAGAGUAGGCCAUCGGACUAGACAAUAAUCCACCCAUUUCAAACAUGGUUACUCCAUGAGGCUUGUGUAGGUUCAGUUUAAUGAGUAUCUAUAUAGCUUAAUUCACCAUUGAAAGUGUCCAGAGAUUGGCUGAUGAGAUUGAAUAUGUAGCCAAGUUCUGAGUUUCUAGCUCAUGUGCCUUCCACUGAGUGAAAAAUCCUUGGAUAAGCUCUGGGGUUGCUUCAGUUUAAUGAAAUAUUGGGAUAAAUUCAAAGAUUUUCUGCUAUGCUCGUUGGGCUUUCCUCAGUUAAAAAAGCUUUGACUACUUGCAGCCUGCCCUAUCUGAGCAAUUGGCUCAAAAGUUAUUAUUAUUAUUAUCAUGUUUUUUGAUAGUGACUUUAUUUAUGUAUUAUGAGAGGGAAAGAGAUGCUUAACAAACACCUUUGAACUAAGACUUUCUAAAUUAUUUGUUUACAAGUUUUCUUUAACAAUCAAAUCUGUGUUUUUUGGUAAGAAGCAAGAAACCUUGCAUUGGAAAAAUACCAAUUAUUUAGAUAAAGUUCUCAGAUUAGUCUAUGUUUUAUACAUAAGGUAAGCAGAUACACUUUCCAAGCUUUCCAAGUCUUCAAUGGAUGGCCUUUUUUUAAUUUAAAGGUCGAACCCUUAUUCAACAACUACACCCCUUUCCCAUCCUCAACUCAAAGUGGACUCUGCAUAAUCUUUGGGUUUUAGGACUUAUUCGAGGGUAAAUCUAAAGGAGUAACCCUGUGGACAGACCAUCUAUGAUCAGUUUGUGAUUAGUGUCAGACCCAUUAGAUCUUUAUAAGUUGAGGUGAGAAGUUUGCUGCAUGAAUUCGAAUCUACUUUCUUUCCACUUCUUAUCAUCAUGGAGUACAUGACGAAAACUUCAGAUAAAAAUGAAAACUCAAAUUAAACUGUUUUCUUUUCCAUUCUUUCUUCACUAUGUUCAUGACACUUGUGCUUCUCCUACCAUUCAAAUGGUUUAUCUGGACAUCUUAAUUAGUUUCUUCGAUCUUAGUUGAUGGGUUAUAGUGGGAUAAUUUAGAGAAGCAAAAUGGCACCUUUCCAUUUCUGAAUUGUAUGCAGUUGUUGCCUCAAUGUUCAUUUAUUCAUCACCAAUUCCGCCAGCAGUAUGCUGGAAGUAACAGUAGAACUAUUUUACAAUCAGUCAAGUAUUGCUUCUUCAUCAAAAUUCUGCAUAUACUGUAUAUAAUCAAUCAAGCAACUGAGAUUUGUGAUCCAGUUGUUUUUCCACAAGUGAAAUAUCAAAGAUUUGGAUAAGAUUUUUUAAGACAAAUAUUGAGAUGGAGACAGGAGUAGAAGAUGCCUAACAGACAAACUGCUUUAUUUUAAUAUUAGGACCAGAGUCCACACCAAAAGAGCUACAAAAGAAAGUAAUAAACCCUCUUAUUCUAGGAUGAUUGUAAUGAGGUAAUUAAACAUCACAAAUAGUCAUUCAAGCUUGCAAAUCAAAGGUUCCUAGCUUCUUCAUUUUCUCUAUUUCCCCACUAGAAUCGUGCUUGAAGGUAUUUGACCACCUUCUUGUCCAACUGGAAGGCCCUUGCCAGGAAAUCAGGAUUGAUGGGUGGAUUUGAUCCAAAUACUGCAUUGGCUAUGGUGAUUACACCUGGAUUUUGGCUGUUCAGACCAGCAAUGGCUACUGCAUUAAUGUGCCCAAUGUUGAAUUAGAAGUGAAUGAGACCAAUAGGGAACACAAAAACAUCCCCCUUGUUUAGAACUUUGCUAAUGAGGCGGUUUUGAGGGUUGGAUGUGACAAAGCCGACUAAGAGUGUCCCUCCAAGACGGUGAGGAUCUCAGUGGCACGAGGGUGAGUGUGAGGAGGGUUUUGACCGUAGGGUGCAUAAUCGAUACGAACCUGUGAUAUCCCAAGAGUGUUAAGUUCUGGUAUUGCAUCAACAUUUACUGUAGUGACAUUUGAGCCCACUCGAUUUGUUGUGUUUCCUGGGAUAUUCAGCCCUUGAUAGAAGAAAUCCUCGGCCACAGUCAGGUUUGGGUUCUUGCAGAACUUUCCAUUUACAAAUACUGCAUUUAAAAAAAGGGAAAAGAAAAGAUACAUCAUUAGUAUGAAACCACCAUCAAUGGAAAGAUUAAUGAAAAUAGUGACAAGUUCAUUGGUUACUAAAGAAAUACCAGCAUUCUUGGGUUCAUCAAUGGCAACACAAGUGUCCUGCAGUGGGCUUGGAUCAGAGGCAGAGGCAAAAGAUGAAGCCAAUGCCAUGAGGGCCACAGUUACUAGGAAACUAACACCUUUCUCCAUUGUUAGAGUACUGUCUCCAACAAUCACAAAUCUUUGUGUUUAGGUGAGGGGUGAAAAUUUUUGCAUGAGAAACAUGUCAAUUUAUAGAUGGUCUUCAAUGGGUAGGUCCUUUUUUUUUUUUUUUUUUUUUUUUGCUUUCUCACUUACAAGGAUAAGUGUUUUCAUCAAUACGUGUUAAUUUAUGUUGGGUUAGUUAGUAUACUGAUCUUAACUUAAAUAUUUUCAAUGCAUAUGUUGAAAGUGAAGUUCAAUCAGGUGGAGGCAGGUCCAAUUUCAUAUCCAUCUCCAAUAUGAAAAGUUCUCCACAAGAUUUAGUUCCAAAUGGCUAGCUAAUGGAAGAACUACAUAUGGCAAAAUGAAGUGAAAGUAUUCAGGAUUACUUAACCUUUUAAUGCAGCAGAUCAGUCCUUCUGUUUUCUUGGUGACCAAACAUUGAACGAACUCUAAAGUAGUGUAUAUACAGCAAAAAGAAGACCAUUAUUAUUAUCACUAUGGUCUUUGAUAGUGAAUAUAUUUAUGUCUCAUGUACAAAUAUAUUUCCACACUUCUUCACUUUCAUAUGUUUCCAUGCAUCUUCUUUCAUCCACUAUUUUCGCUCCUAUAUUACCAUUUUUUUCCAUCACCCAUCACCCAAAGAGCUUAGUUUGAAUAUAAUCUUGGGGUUAUCUCAAAGUUUCUUUGUGAUUCAACAAGUUUUUUCAUGAGUCAACCAAAUAUUAGACUCAGAUAUCGGUUCAGUACUAGUCAUGGCCAAGAUUUUAACCCUGUUUGAGCUCUCUAUUUCUUUAUACAAUACCCAUUUUUAAAGGCUCGCAAAAUAACCCUAUGAAGAUACAAGAGGAUAGAGAUGCAAAUACAGGGAUGAAAAUGCAAAAGGUUUGAAAACUCUUAACUCUCCAUAUUUCUUCGGUUUCAUGGGUUUCAAUCUUCUUCUCUCAUCAACUAUUUCUGCUCCAAUAUUACCAUUUUUUUUCCAUCACCCAUCACCUGAAGAGCUUAGCUUGGACAUAAUGUUAGGGAUAUCUCAAAGUUUCUUUGUGAUUUAGCAAGUUUAUUCAUGAUUCAACCAAAUAUUGGACUCGGGUAUCGGUUCGAUACCGAUCAUGGCUGAGGCAUAUAUGAAUCGGUUGAGUCGUACUGGUCUCGACCAAGAUUUUGAACCCUGUUUAAGCUUUCUAUUUCUUUGCACAAUACUAAUUUUUGAAGCCUUAUAAAAUAACCCUACGAAGAUACAAGAGGAUGAAGAUGCAAAUACAAGGAUGAAUAUGCAAAGGGUUUGAAGACUUUGAACUCUCCAUACUUCUUCACUACCAUAGGUUUCAAUCUUCUUCACUCAUCCACCAUUUCCAUUCCAAUAUUACCAUUUUUUUUCCAUCACCCAUCACUCGAAGAGCUUAGUUUUGACAUAAUCUUGGGGUUAUGUCAAAGUUUCUUUAUGAUUCAACAAGUUUAUUCAUGAGUCAACUAAAUAUUGGACUUGGGUAUCAGUCUGAUACUAGUCAUGGCCAAGAUUUUGAACCCUUUUUGAGCUCUCUAUUUCUCUACAUAAUACCCAUUUUUGAAGGCUCACAAAAUAACCCUACAAAGAUACAAGAUGAUAGAGAUGCAAAUACAGGGAUGAAGAUGCAAAGGGUUUGAAGACUCUGAACUCUCCAUACUUCUUCACUUUCAUAGGUUUCGAUCUUCUUCUCUCAUUUGCCAUUUCAGCUCCAAUAUUACCAUUUUUUCCAUGACCCAUCACUCGAAGAGCUUAUUUUGGACAUAAUCUUGGGGUUAUCUCAAAGUUUCUUUUUUAUUCAACAAGUUUAUUCAUGAGUCAACCAAAUAUUGGACUCAGGUAUUAGUUCGGUACUGGUCAUGGCCGAGGCGGAUAUGACUUGGCCGAGUCAUACUGGUCUCAAUCGAGAUUUUAAACCCUAUUUGAACUCUCUAUUUCUUUUUCACAGUACCCAUUUGUUAGAAAUUUGAGGCUAAUCCAACCUAUGGUAAUCACCCUAGAGGGGGGGUGAAUGGGGUGAUGGUCUCUUUUCUAACAAUUUAAACAAGUGAAUGCAAGAGACAAUUAUAUGCAAGUAUAUAAUAAUCAAUAUAGAGACAAUUGCAUAUAAAUUAAAGAGUAGGGAAAAGAGAAUGCAAACACAAGAUUUUAUAGUGGUUCGACGCAACCCGGCCUAUAUCCACUCUCCUCUAGCUUCAAUCCUGAGCUUGAGGUUUCACUAAUCCAAGGCUUCCAAACCAAGCCUUCAAGCAAUACAAUUGGAUUAUGGUUCCAAUUCACCCUCUUGGACUUUUGGCUCCAAGCACCCUUUACACUUCUCAAGAGAUAUCCCACUCUUGAACAACCCCUCAAGUGAUACUUCACACUUGAGAAACUUCCUAUCAAAGAUUUACAAAUGAAUGAUCUCUCAAUCUAGCACAAAAACUUUAAGCUCAAAUGAUACAAGAAAAACUAGGAUUGAAUGGUGCACUAAAGAUAUGCAAGUUUUGAAAUAAUGGUGCACUCAAAUAUACUCUUCCAAGGCUCAAAUAUAAUCAAGAAAUAUUUGGGAAGGUUAAUCUCUUGAAACAAUGAAGAUCGAAGCCUUUUUAUAGAAGAAAAAAGCCAAACUAGCCAUUGGGGGUUCGACCGGUCGACCAGUUGACUAGCCAUUAGCAUUUAAUGCAUGGCAAGUGACCGUUGGGCCUUAACCGGACCUCAACUAGUUGAGGUUCAACCUUGACCGUGAAGAGAAGGUCACUGGGAGAAAAAGAAACCUUUUGGCCUCCCUCAACCGGUCGACCGGUUGAGCCAUUUUUUUGGCUCAACACCGAACCAUUUUCAACUUAAAACCUUUUAACACAAGUUUGAAAAUCAUUUAAUACAAGGUUUUAGUUGAAAACAUGAAAUCAUCCAAUUCUUAAGAUAUUUAAAACAAUAUUACUCUUGGAUGAUUUUGGUGCAUAAAUAAAGAAUGAAAUGCAUGAAAGUCCUAGUGCACCAACAACCUUACAAAGAGAUCCUAUGAAGCUUUGGUCUUGAAAAACUCUUCUCUUUGAGGUGGUCUUCUUCUUCAUGAUUUCUUCUUGGUUUGAUUUGUCUUUGUGAUUGCCACUUUGGAAAUCGUCUUGCCUAAUCACACUUGAAAUAUGAUCAUUAGUUCUAAACCUUGUUUUGUUAUCAUAAAAAUCAAGAUUAACCAAACCUUGGUUUCACACCAUUUUUUAAGGCUAACAAAUUAGCCCUACGAAGAUAUAAGAGGAUUAAGAUGCAAAUAAAGGAAUGAAGAUGCAAAGGGUUUGAAGACUCUAAACUCUUCAUACUUUUUCACUUUCAUGGGUUUCAAUCUUCUUAUCUCAUCCACCAUUUUCGCUCCAAUAUUACAAUUUUUUUCCAUCACCCAUCACCCAAAAAGCUUAGUUUGAACAUAAUCUUGGAGUUAUCUCAAAGUUUCUUUUUUAUUCAACAAGUUUAUUCAUGAGUCAACCAAAUAUUGGGCUCAAGUAUCAAUUCAAUAUCGAUCAUGGUUGAGGCGGAUAUGACUCGAUCAAGUUGUACUCGUCUCAACCGAGAUUAUGAAACCUAUUUGAGCUCUCUAUAUAUCUACACAAUACCCAUUUUUGAAGGCUUACAAAAUAGUCCUACGAAGAUACAAAAGGAUGGAGAUGCAAAUACAAGGAUGAAAAUCCAAAGAGUUUGAAGACUCUGAACUCUCCAUAUUUUUUCACUUUCAUGAGUUUUUAUUUUCUUCUCUUAUUUGCCAUUUCCGCUCCAAUAUUACCAUUUUUUUUCCAUUACCCAUCACUCGAAGAGCUUAGUUUGAACAUAAUAUUAAGGUUAUCUCAAAUUUUCUUCGUGAUUCAACAAGUUUAUUCAUAAGUCAACCAAAUAUUGGACUUGGAUAUCUAUUCGAUACUAGUCAUGGUAGAGGCGGAUAUGACUCGACCAAGUCAUACCAGUCUCAACUGAGGUUUUGAACCCUAUUUGAGCUCUCUAUUUCUCUAUACAAUACCCAUUUUGAAGGCUCACAAAAUAGCCCUACCAAGAUACAAGAUAAUGGAGAUGCAAAUAUUACUCGUUGAAUUUCUAGCAAUAAUUGGUUUAUUUUUUAAAUUUUGAACUAUUUUUUAAAAUUAAAUAUCUAUUAAUGAAACAAAAAUACUAACUCUUUCUUGAUUUUCUUCUCUCAUCCACCAUAUCCGCUCCAAUAUUGCCAUUUUUUCCAUCACCCAUCACUCGAAGAGCUUAGUUUGGAUAUAAUCUUAAGGUUAUGUUUCUUUUUUAUUCAACAAGUUUAUUCAUGAGUUAACCAAAUAUUGCAAUGUUUUCAGAACCGGACCGGUGAUCGAACCGGAAAAGUUACCGGUUCACGGUUCACUGGUCGGACCGGCGGUCGAACCGCUAUUGAACCGGUGACAUCAUAAAUAUAUAAUUUAUAUAUUAUUAAAAUUAAAAAUAAUUAUAAAAAUUUUAAAAUAUAUAUGAAUAAAUUAAAAAUCAAUAAUAUUAUCAAAUUAAAUCAUAUUAAUAUUUUUAAUUUUGUUAAAUGAAAUAUGUAAAAUAUUUAAAUAUGAAUAUAUUAAAAAUGAAAAUUUAAACUAAUUUUAUCAUUUUUAAAAAUAUUAUAUUAUUUUUAUUUAACAUUACAAAAUUAAUUUAAAAUCUAAUAUAUAUUAUUUUGUUUAGCAUAUUAACUAACAUAAGCUGUGUAGCCGAGUGGUGCCUUGCAUGCCUUCCAAAUCUGGGGUCCAAGGUUCAAUUCCUCCUGGCUGUGGGGGACUUCUUGUUAUUUUUUUCAUUCAUUUGGUUGGUUAGGAAUCCCACAUCGGAAACAAAGAGAAAUGAGGAAGCCAAGGGUGCCUAUAAAUUCUAUCCACAUUGAAAGCCAACGCAUUCCCUCAUUGGGUGGGCUCAAGACUAAGCCCACAAUAUGGUUGAGUGGGGUUUGGGCUUUGUCAUGAUGAGACAAGCCCAGAAUGGGCAUUUUGCCCAAGACCUUUUUAUGCAAGGGAGCCUUUAAAAUGGAGGUUCAAAUUGAACCGUUCGGUUCGAUUAGAACCGUCCGGUUCGACCGAGUCACCGGUCCGACCGUCGGUUUUGGCGGUUCGUGGCCGGUUUAAAUCUUAAACGGUUCAAUAAGUAGAUCGGACCGGAAUUGUGACCGGUCGACGGUUGAACCGGUUGGACCGGCCGGUCCGGUCCGGUUUUUAAAACAUUGAAAUAUUGGACUCGGGUAUCAGUUAGGUACCGGUCAUGGCCAAGGCAAAUAUGACUUGGUCAAGUCAUACCAGUCUUAACUGAGAUUUUGAACCUUGUUUGAACUCUUUAUUUCUUUGCACAAUACCCAUUUUUUAAGGCUAACAAAAUACCCCAACGAAGAUACAAGAGGAUUGAGAUGCAAAUAUAGGAAUGAAGAUGAAAAGGGUUUGAAGAGUCUAAACUCUUCAUACUUUUCCAUUUUCAUGGGUUUCAAUCUUCUUCUUUCAUCCACCAUUUUCGCUCUGGUAUUACCAUUUUUUUCCAUCACCCAUCAUCCAAAAAGCUUAGUUUGGACAUAAUCUUGGAGUUAUCUCAAAGUUUCUUUUUUAUUCAACAAGUUUAUUCAUGAGUCAACCAAAUAUUGGACUAGGGUAUCGAUUGAUACUAAUCAUGGCUGAAGCGGAUAUGACACGAUCAAGUCAUAUGUGUCUCAACCGAGAUUAUGAACCUUGUUUGAGCUUUCCAUUUCUAUACACAAUACCCAUUUUUGAAGGCUCAAAAAAUAAUCCUACGAAGAUACAAGAUGAUGAAGAUGCAAACACAUGGAUGAAAAUCCAAAGGGUUUGAAGGCUCUGAACUCUCCAUAUUUCUUCACUUUCAUGGGUUUCGAUCUUUUUCUCUCAUCCACCAUUUCCGCUCCAAUAUUACCAUUUUUUUUCCAAUUUUUAUAGUGCAAUGGUUGGCUGUUCACGGACUAGCUGUACCUACCAUUUCUUUUUUGGGGUCAAUAUCAGCAAUGCAGUUCAUCCAACGAUAAACCUAAUCCGAAUUAUAGAGCUACGACACAAUCAAACCCGAAGGAAAGGAUUUGUAUGAUAUCUGAUCUAGGGAAAUAUAUAUAUUAUACUGUGUCAUCCAGAAAAUCGAGUGAUUCCUUAUUACCCAUCACUCGAAGAGCUUAGUUUGGACAUAAUAUUAUGGUUAUCUCAAAUUUUCUUUAUGAUCCAACAAAUUUAUUCACAAGUCAACCAAAUAUUGGACUUAGGUAUCAGUCCGAUACUAGUCAUGGCGGAGGCGGAUAUAACUCGAUUGAGUCGUACCAGUCUCGACUAAGAUUUUGAUCCCUGUUUAAGCUCUUUAUUUCUCUGUACAAUACCCAUUUUGAAGGCUUCCAAAAUAGCCCUACCAAGAUACAAGAUAAUGGGGAUGCAAAUAUUACUCCUUGAAUUACUGGCAAUAAUUGGUUUAUUUUUUUAAUUUUGAACUAUUUUUUAAAAUUAAAUAUUUGUUAAUGAAACAAAAGCACUAACUCCUUCUUGAUUUGGAGUUUAUUUGUUGAAUGAAAUUUUUUGGAUAAUUUUGGUUUUGCGCAUAAGAGAAAUAAUGAACCAAUUGUUGUUCAUAAAUUCAUAAAAUUGGAUUAGCAUUUGAGUUUCAAAUUAUUUUUAAAAGUGCUUACAUUCAUUAAUGAAUCUAAUACACUAAGUUCCUCUUUGGGAUGAAUUUUGAACGAGGCUAAAAGCGUUUCCUAACACUAGAAAGCAAUCUUAAAAAAAUGGUUGAAAAUCACUUUUAAAAAUCUAAAUGAUGACAUGAUUCUUCAAACUAUCACAUUUUUGUUAUAUUAUACAUUACCAAAACAUUCUCUGAACAUAUUUUUUUUUAAAUUUAUAAUAUGCAUUUCCUACAAAACAAUCUUAAAAAAAUAUGUAUAUCAUCGAUAAUUAAAUUACGGUUUGACAGUGAUUUUAGCAAUUGUUUUUAGUUUUUUUAAUACUUUAAAAAUAACAGCAGUGAAUUUAGGAAACGUUUCUAGCUUUUUUAACACUUGAAUGAUAUAAAUUUUCAAGUAUUAGAAAAGUUAAAAAUGUUUCCUAAAAUCACUACUAAACAGGCUUUAAUCAGUAGUAGUAAUUAAUUGGUAUUGAAUAACUGUAAUGCAGUUUCCUAAAUGUAGUAUUGAGACAGAAACAGAGAGGAAGAGAGAGAUGCUUAACAAACAAAUUGCUUUAUUGUAGUAAUAUGCCCAAAGUCCACACCAGAAGAGUUACAACUAGACCCUCUUAUCAUACUAGGAUUGUUAUAACGAGGGAAUUGAACAUCAUAAAUAGUCAUUCAAGCAAGGAAAUGAAAGGUUGAUAGCUUCUUCUUUUUCUAUAUUCCCCCACUAGAAUCGUGCUUGAAGGUAUUCAACCACCUUCUUGUCCAACUAGAAGGCCCUUGCCAGGAAAUCAGGAUUGAUGGGUGGAUUUGAUCCAAACACUGCAUUGGCUAUGGUGAUUACACCUGGAUUUUGGCUGUUCAGACCAGCAAUGGCUACUGCAUUAGUGUGCCCAAUGUUGAAUUGGAAGUGAAUGAGACCGAUAGGGAACACAAAAACAUCCCCUUUGUUGAGGACUUUGCUAAUGAAGCGGUUUUGAGGGUUGGAUGUGACAAAGCCAACUAAGAGUGUUCCCUCCAAAACAGUGAGGAUCUCACUGGCACGGGGGUGAAUGUGAGAAGGGUUUUGACCAUAGGGUGCAUAAUCGAUACGAACCAGUGAUAUCCCAAGAGUGUUUUGUCCCGGUAGUACAUCAACAUUUAUAAUAGUGACAUUUGAGCCCACUAGAUUUGUUGUGUUUCCUGGAAUAUUCAGCCCUUGAUACAAGAAAUCGUCGGCCACGGUCAGGUUUGGGUUCUUGCAGA